RNAcentral lists this long non-coding RNA (51144 nucleotides) under Solanum tuberosum (potato). Its description in RNAcentral is "long non-coding RNA (STUB_LNC008622)". Lineage: Eukaryota; Viridiplantae; Streptophyta; Magnoliopsida; Solanales; Solanaceae. The record is from RNAcentral.
UUUUUUUUUUUUUUGUUGGGAGCAUCGCUAUGAAUAAACAUUGUGUGAGUUUGAAUUAGCUGGAUUCAUCUCAAUACAAAUAUUAGAUACGAAAUUAGAAACGAAAAAGAAAGAAGAUGAAGAAAAUACAAAGAUGUCAUUGUUAUUUUAUUUAUGUGUUAUAAUCACAUGAAUAUAUAUUAAUAUUUGUAGACAUGAAGAAGAUGUCAAAAUAAGCAUACACAAAUAUAAUAGGUAUAUUCUUUGGGAUAAAAUUCAUUGAAACAAUUAUAUAGGGACAGAGCUAGAAUGAUAAAUAUUGGUUAUCGAGUUUAGUAGCUUUAAUAUAUAAUCAAUUACUAAUACGUGAUAUAUAUAGCUAUCUUGAGAAUUCAUAGUGCAAAUUCUUAUUCCGUUUUUAUUGAAGAGGUUAUAAUGCAACCUUAGGGGUUGUUUCACGUUUGGUAUGGCAGAUAAAGAUCGACAAUAUCUCUUAUCCCACCAAUCAAAUACAGAAUAAUAUAGUUCCGUAUUUUAUUUCCUAAGGGAUCGUUUCACGUUUGGUACAGUGAAUAAAUAUAAUAAUCUCGUGAUAAAAUUUAAGAUUAACUUUAUCCCAUAUUUGAUGUGAAAUAUUAGCUUAUUCGUAAACGGCCAUCCAUAUAAAAGACCCUACUUAUUCGAUCUAGUAUAUUACGAUUCCUAAUGUUACUAUCUCAUCCUGUGUACCGAACGACGUGGUAUACACCUGUGUAUGGUACAAUUUGAAUCAGGAAAUUAAAGGAUAUGAUCAGACUGACCAUAUUGGACUUGCAAAAUGUGACUUAUCAUACGUACUAUUAUUACGACGUCGUUUUGUGCUAAAACCCAGCUCCCAAGAGAAACAGGCCGGGUCGGGCCCAUUUAAAAAAAUGGUCCCAAAGUAAGCAGACACUGGAAAAUGACUAACCUCACACCUGGCCCACUAAAGUUAUUAAGAUAAUACAUUGGACACAAUUGGGACCAUUUUACCCCUAUGAGAUUUUCCGCUAAGAGUUUGUUUUGGAGUUUAAUUAAUUUGAAUUCACGUUGUAAAUAUAUUAUUUUGAGAGUAAAGUGUGGUAGAGUAUAAGACACAUUUUUAGUUUUAGGAUUUGACUUCGGAAUUUUUUGUUGAGGAUGAAUGGGUACGUACUAUGAGUUUUGUUGAUUACUGUAGUCGGGGAAGGAUUCAAGAUUUAAGCUUUAUGAGUUCAGUUUGUAAAGUUUUUAGUAUUAUAUUCAUUGUAUAUUUUUAAAAUUAUGAAUUCAAAAGAAUUGAGUUCAAAUGAAUUUGAUAGCACAACUCUAUAUCUAUUGUGACUCUAGUAUCUCUUUUCUUAUUUUUCACUCAAUAUCGAGCAUUGGCUUUGAAUUGAGAUGUACAAAUUCAUUAAAGAGUUACAAAAUGAGAUGUAGACAUUAUUCUUUAAAUAAACUAAAAAAAAUUAUAUAGAAAAAAUUAUAUAUAAUAAUUAUAAAUAAAAAUACAAAAAUUAUUUUAAAAUUACUGCAUUUUACUCAAUUUAUUUUGAGAGUAGUAAUAUUCAUAAUUAUCGACCGUAUUUCAAAAUUACUCAAACUCAACACCUUUAAAUAAAAGAUUUAAAAAUACUUCCUUAUUCAUAAUAAUUCAUUAUCUGAUACUCACAUUAAAUUAAAGAUCGAUUAAUUCAAAUUUCGAUCGAAAAUUUCAUUUUGAAUGACGAAAGAUUCAUCCAUAAACAAAUCACAUCAAAAGUACUUAUAACAACAAACAUGAGAUGGAAAAAAGAAAAAAUGAAAGUUUGGCCAAAAAAAGAAAAAACAGUUCUCACGUGCUGAGGUGGCACCCACAUAAAUAGUAGUUGCUGAGACAGUAAUUAAGACCUCACCUGCAGGUCAAAAUACCCCCACCCACCAACAAGUACAAAAUGACCAAUUUUUUUUAUUUUUUUUUAUUUAUAUUAAAGUUUGAUUAAUUUAAAUUCGAAUAAAAAUAAAUUAUUUUAAAAAAAUACUUAUCAUUUCAUCAUAAUUGUUAACGUAUACAAAAUAUAUUACUACUAUGUUUUGGUAGGAAGGAAAACUACUAAAUUGAUAUACUCUAUGUUUCAAUUUAUAUGAUUAACUUUUUUAAUAAUCUUAAAAAAAUGAUACGUUUCUAUAUUUUAAGAAGAUAUAAAUAGCAAUAUAAAAAAUGAGUAAUUAGUUUGUCUGGUAUAAUUGAGCCAACGCUGUUGCCUGCGGCGACGCAGACAAUUAGUAAGAAACGGUACACUCGAUUACUUAACGCCGUUACUUUGCCCCUAGUACUCCCGUUUCUAUUUUGGUAAAACGUUAUGUAUCGAGGGUUUAUUAGAAUCAAUUUCUUUAUUUAAUAAAGAUAAUGUUUGAUUAAUUUUUUAAGUCAAUAUAAGUUAUUUAAAUAUCAUUUAGAGCGAAGGGUAUAGUUAUAAAUAGAUUCAGUUUAGAAGAUUAAUUGUUAGCUUCAUUUGUUAUCUUCUUUUACGAUAUAUUGUUUUUAGCUUCGUAUAUUAUAUAUCAUCUAUUUAUCUGGCCUCGUCACUGCUCAACACCUUCAAAAAAUGAAAAAACUUCGUUCGAUGACCCCAUAAUCAUCAUUUGAAAGAUUAAAAUAUGAUAUAUGUGGAGAGUUCGUGACUCAGUCGAAAAAUAGUAUAUGCAAAUAAUUUGUGAUGGAAUGACUAAGUCGAAAAAUAAUACAUGUGAAGAAUUUGAAAUGCACAGACUUAAUAUUUAUUGUCCUAUGUGAUAUCUACGUGAAUAUGUUUUCCACCCGAUUAAAAUCAAAUCACAAUAUAAUUUUUCUAAUCCGAUCCAAUAUAUAUUACAUCCGAUCAGCAAAUCUAAUAAACUGAGAAUGCACCAAAAACAAAUUAAUUUAGUGCUUAAAAUGAUCUAAAAAAGUGCUUAAUUUGUGCUAAAAAUGGUGCUCAAAUAUUCUAAUUUAUAUCUUCAAUAGUUGUUGAAAUGGAGCCAAAAAACAUUUGCACAGUGAUUAAUUUGUUGUUGCAAUUUGUGUGCUUAAUCGUGUUUUUAUACUUAAUAAUUAGAAAUGCAGCCUCACUAUUACACUUUGAAUAAUUAGAAUAAGAUAAAUAAAACUUUGAAGAUAAUUUUUAUACUCAAUAAAUUUCUCUGAUUUUAUCCUCUCUAGGAAAUUCUAUUUUUUCUAUAUAUGUUGCAAAUUCUCUAUUUCCUUAAAAUAGUUAUAUCCGUGAGCUUGUUAUCUCUUCAAUUGCUUUUUUGGUUGUGUUAAUUUUUGUUAUUUUACUCAACCAAUUUUUUUUUUCUUUUUAUAUUACAUCUUCAUCUUGUCGAGGAUCUAUCAAAAAUAGUCUCUCUAACUCACAAAAAUAAUGAUAAAAUCUACUUAUAUUUAUACUCUCAAAUUUAUUCGUGAGAUUACACUAAAGUGUUCAUUUAAAAUGAACGGGGAUCAAUUUUUUUAUACAAGAUUCCUCAAAAUAAAAUAAAAUAGUAUAUGCGGAGAAAUUCGAGGUGGACCGACCAAUUAAAAAAUAGUAUAUGCGGAGAAUUCGAGGUGGACCGACUCAGUAAAAAAUAGUACAUAUAGAGAAUUCGAGGUGAAUCAACUCAGUCGAAAAACCUAUGCGGAGAACUCGAGGCAACCAAAUCAGUAUAUAUUCUAAAAAAUAGUACAAAGAAUUCGAGGCAACCGAUCUCAUAUUUAUUGAAGCAAAAAUAGUGUGGAAAACUCAAGAUAGCCGAUUUUAUCAAAAAAUAGUGAGAAAAACUCGAGGCGACCGAGUCAGUAUUUAUUCAGUCAAAAAAUAGUGCAAAGAAUAUGAGGUGGUCGACUCAGUCGAAAAUAAUACAUGUAGAGAAUUCAAGGUGAGACAAAUCAAUAAAAAAAUAUUACAUGAAAAAAAUUUGAGGUGGAUAGAAUUAGUAUUUGUAGUCCUAUGUGGCAUGUACGUAAAUAUAUUUUUCUCCCAAUUAAAAUCGGCUCAGGAAAUAAUUAUUCUAACUCGAUACAAAGUUACAGCCGAUAAAUAAAUCCAAUAAACUGAGCAUGCACAAAAAAAAACUAAUUAAUUUAGUGCUGAAAUUGUGUUGAAAAUGGUCCAAAAUUGUGCUGAAAAUAAUUUAAUUUAUAGCUUCAAUAGUUAUUGAAAUAUAACAAAAAAAAAAUCUGCACAAUGACUAAAUAUAAAAUAUUUUAAUAUAAUUUAAUCAGCUGCUAAAUCAAGAAAAUGUAGUUAUAAAUAGAUUAAUUUUUGAAGAUCCUAACAUCAUUUAUUAUCUUUCUUUAACGAUUUGUUCUUGUGAGCAUCAUAAUCCAAAUUUAACAUGGUCAUCUCCUUUUUAUUAGGAAUCAACACUAUAAAAAAACUAAAAAAUUUACCCUUUGAAUGACUAGAAUAAGAUAAAACUUGAAGAUAAUUUUUAUAAUACAAAUUUCUUCUCCAAUUUUUUCCUCCUAUGUUGUAAAUUCUCAUUUUCCUUGUAUAUUAGUUCUCUUCAAUUACUUUGUUGGUUGUGUUUAUCUUUAUUGUUUUACUGUUUUAGAAGAUUUUUUUAAUAAUACGUUAUUUUGUUGAGGAUAUAUCAGAAAUAAUCUCUUUAACUUAUGAAAAUAGUGAUAACUUCUAUCAUCUUCAAAUUUCAUUCGAGAUUACACGAAAUAUACAAAUAUUAUUCCACUGAAAUGAACGUGAACUAAUUUUUAAACCGGGUUCCUAAAAAAAACACUACAAGCGGAGAAUUCGAAGUGGGGAAACUCGAUCAAAAAGUAAUACAUUUGAAAAAAUCGAGGUGGACCGACUCGAUUGAAAAAUAAUGGAGAGAAUCUCGAGCUGGAUCGACUCGACCGAAAAACAAUGGAGAGAAUCUCAAGCUGGACCGACUCGAUCGAAAAACAAUGGAGAGAAUCUCAAGUUGGACCGACUCGACCGAAAAACAAUGGAGAGAAUCUCGAGGUGACCGACUCAUUUAAAUUUUUUUGCAGAGAAUUAAGCCUAUCUCCUCAAUAUUUAUUCACACAAAAAAUAGUUGGAGAAUUCAAGCUGAUCAACUCAGUAUUUAUUCACACAAAAUAUAAAGUCUUCAAAUUUCAUUCGAGAUUACACGAAAUAUACAACUAUUGUUUCACUCAAAUGAAUGUGAACUACUUUUUUAAUCAUGUUCUUAGAAAAGUUAUAUCCGUGAGUUUGUUAUCUCUUCAAUUGCUUUGUUGGGGUUGUGUUAAUUUUUGUUAUUUUACUAAAAAAAAUUAGUUUUUUUUUUUUGUCUUUUGGAUAAUACAUCGUCUUCUUGAGGAUCUAUAAGAAAUGGUCACUCUAACUUACAAAAACAGCGAUAAAAUUUACAGGUAUUUUAUCCUUUCAAAUUUAUUCUCGAGAUUACACUGAAUUGUUCCUUUAAAAUGAACGCGGAAGAAUUUUUUAUUCUAGAUUACUAAAAAUGAAACAAACACUACAAGCGAAGAAUUCGAGGUGGACCGACUCAAUCAAAAAAUAUUAUUCCACUCAAAUGAAUGUGAACUAAUUUUUAAAUCAGGUUCCUAAAUGAAACACUACAAGUGGAGAAUUCGAAGUAGGGAAACUCGAUCAAAAAGUGAUAUAUUUGAAAAAUCGAGGUGGACCGACUCGAUCGAAAAACAAUGAAGAGAAUCUCGAGAUAGACCGACUCGACCAAAAAACAAUGGAGAGAAUCUCGAGGUGACCGAAUCGACCGAUAUACAAUGGAGAGAAUCUGAGGUGGACCGACUCGACCAAAAAACAAUGGAGAGAAUCUAAAGUUGACCGACUCAUUUAAAAAAAAAUUGCGGAGAACUCAAGGCUACCUGCUCAGUAUUUAUUCACACAAAAAAUAGUGUGGAGAAUUUGAGGUGAUCGACUGAUACUCACACAAAGAAUAGAGUCUUCAAAUUUCAUUCGAGAUUGCAUGAAAUAUACAAUUAUUGUUUCACUCAAAUUAAUGUAAACCACUUUUUUAACUAGGUUCUUAAUAAAAACACUACAAGCGAAUAAUUUGAAGUAGAGCAACUCAAUUGAGUGAAGAAUUUGAGGUGUCCAACUUAGUCGAAAAAUAGUGUAGAGAAUUCGAGGUGAUCAAAUCAUUCGAAUAGUACAUGCGGAGAACUCGAGGUGAAACAUGAGUUAAAAAAAUAAUGCACGCAAAAUUUCAAGGUGAACAGACUCAAUACUUAUUAUCCUAUGUGGAUAUAUAUUUUCUCUCAAUUAAAAUUUACUCACAAUAUAAUUCUUUAUGCGAUCUAAAAUUUCCCGAUCAACAAACUCAAUAAAUCGAGAAUUCACCUAAAACUAAUUAAUUUAGUGCUGAAAAAGAUCUAAACUUGUGCUGAAAUAGUGCUAAAUUUGUGCUGAAAAUUAUCUAAUUUAUAGCUUUAAUUGUUGUUGAAAUGCAACCAAAAAACAUCUGCACAAUGAUUAAUUUGUGCUGAAAAUGCAACCAAAAUGCACUUCUACAGUCGAUCGACUCAGUCGAAAAAUAAUACAUGUAAGAGAUUAUAUUUGAGGUGGACCGAUUUAGUCGAAAAAUUGUGUGAAGAAUUCAAGGUGGAUCGACUUCGUGGAAAGAUAGUGCGAAGAAUUCAAGAUAACUGAUUCAGUAUUUAUUUAGUCAAAAAAUAAUGCACAAAAUUUGAGGUGACGGACUCAAUCAAAAAGUAGUGCGGAGAAUUCGAGAUAGGCUACUCAAUCGAAAAAUAAUGUAGAGAAUUCGCGAUGAACAACUUAGUAUUUAUUCAGUCGAAAAAUAGUACCGAGAAUUUAAGGUGGCCGACUCAAUCGAAAAAUAAUGGCAGAGAAUUCAAAACAACUGACUUAAUAUUUUUUCAAUCGAAAAAUAGUGCAAAGAAUUCAAGAUGACCGAUUCAAUACUUAUUCGUAAAUAUUAUUCUAAAAUUAAAUUACUUCGCUUUAAAUUGUGGUAAUAAAACUAAACUUACUUGAUAUAUCGAUAAAUUAAAAUCUCUCACCCACUUAAUAUCAUAACUUAAUAAACUAAAUUGUCUUAAAAAUAAUAUAUUUUGUUUUACCUAGUUUAGGGUAAUAAACUUUUAAUUAUAGUAAAACUGAAAGAUAAAAACUCAUAUAAUUUAGCAUGCCGGUACAUUUGACGCCGUUAGUAACAAACCCAAAUAGGACAGUAUCAAUUGCUCUUUUUUUUCCGUCAAAAAAUAUGUUGUCACCCAAAUAACGUGGUCCCAUAGUUAUAAAAAAAAACUAACCAUGGUUAGUUUUAGGAAUGGAACUAGUAACAUGCAUGCAGGAUCAAACUCAACAGAUUUUGCUUAAAUUAAAUAGUUAUGUUAAUAAAUACAUUAAAUAUGUAUAAACAUUAAAUUUAACAUUCAACUAUUAUCAUUUAAAAUCAUCAUUAUAAAAUUCAGAACUAAUAAAUUGAAAUCUUAGCUUCAUAACUUGUUUCUAUUUAUUUUUUUUAGUUUCACAUUUGGUAUCAGAUGUCCACAUUAAAGUCUCGAUUAAAUUUGGGUUGCGCACUACAAGACUCAUUUUGUGUGUGUGUGUGUGUAUAUAUAUAUAUAUAUAUGUUGAGUUUUAAAAGGUGUGAAUGAAAAAUAAAGAGUUGUAAUGUUUGUGAAGAAUUAUGACUUUUACGAAGAGUUGUGACUUUUAUGAAAAGUUGCGACUUUUGCGACUUUUUCAAAGGGGGUGACCUUUUGAAUAAGGUACAAUAAAAUCAUUGAGUGAUUAGCUAACACCGAUGUUUUAGGACAAUACAUCAAUGAGUAAAACCAUUCUAUCCUGAGAGGAUAUAUUCUAUCAACAUAACCUCGGAUACUGUAACGACCCGAACCGUCGUUAUUUAGGAGAAACAAAAAUUCAGGAAAAUUUUGGGCCACUGUCCCGCCAGAGCGGGAUAGUUGCCGCUAGGGCGGCGGCGCCAGGGAGGGGUAAGUUGGCGCCAGAGCAGAGGCGAGGCAGAAUGUAAAUUACGAGAAAUCCUAUUUUUUCCAUCUUCCUAAAAUACCUAAAUAAGUCGUAAAACAUCCUAGAAACCUCAGAAAAGUUGUUCUAAGGUUGGGAAAAAGGGAGAGAGAGAUUUCUAGAGUGAAGAUGUCGAUGGAUUGUGAAUUUUUGAUCAAGAUCACAGUCACGAAUUCCGGAAACAUGAAUCGAAGACCAAAACUCCGUGCAGCUGCUUGGAGCCCAGGUAGGCAAGGUUUUAUGAAUUGAGUAGUUUAAAUCUGUGCUUACUGCGUAACAUAUGUGAAUCGAUGGUAGGAUUUAUACGUAGACCUUCGUGCACCGAAUGAUUAUUGAUUUAAAUCCUAGAAAUAAGCCUUAGGCGAUGAAUUAGGGCUGAGUAUGGUCGAAUUAGGGUUGCAUGAUGUGUACUGAUGAAUAAUCCAUUAUAGGUGAUGAUUAUGAUUCUAUGUUUGUGUGAUGCACGUUUGUUCUUGCUUCAUUAUGAUACAUGUGUGUACACGAAUGUUGCAUUAUUGAUCAUACUUGUUGUAAGUAGAUAAAUGAAUGAUGGUUACCAUGAAAUUAUGACUUAAAUGUAUGAUCUUGAAAAUAUACUUGUGAUUGCGAUUGUGGUGUGUUGAAUGGAUCGGUUGCCACGUUCCAACAUAACUAACUUGGAUCGGUUGCCACGUUCCGGCAUAACUAACUUGGAUCGAUUGCCACGUUCCUACAUAAUUAUGGGAUUGGUUGCCACAUUCCGACAUAAUCAAUUAGAUCGGAUACCACAUUCCGAUAUGCUAACUGUUUGGGUUUGGAUUCCAUGAGAGGACCAAUGACUUAUCAUAAUUGUGCAUCUUGAGAAAAUGUGAAGUUGUUCAUUGUUCGUACAUGUUGAUGAUAUUGUAUAUGUUCAAUAUGUGCAUGUGAUUAUAUGGUGGUGUUGACUUAUAUAUGUUGCACUUAGUAAUAAAAGUUAUGACGGCGUAUAUUUGAUUGUUCUCUGUGUUUAGAGAACUUGUAGGGUAUAGUGAAAGGGUAAAGAGUUCAAGGGGCGAGGAAUAGAUAGUAAUGGUUGUUCAUGUGUCGUAAUGGCGGAAAGUAGAGGUAGGGUAUGUGAUGAAAAAUGCGUAGGUGGACUUCACUUUGGAAUAAGAGAUUGAGUUUAGUGGUAAGGAAGUUUGAUGUAGUGUACUAUGUGACCAUUGUUGAGUAAUGUGGCGAGGGAGUAGGGGUACGAAGUGAGCGGUUAGUUGGAAUGCUUGUGGGUGUAAUUGGGGAAUUACUAAUGUGUCAGAACGAAUAGGCCAUGAUCAAGUACCUGGUAGGUAGGUUGAUUGAGAGGGAUGUUAGUAGUCGGAGUACUAGUGUAUAUUGGAGGUAUUACAAGAGGGGUGAAGGUGGAGAAACGAGUGGUUUAUUUCAUGAUCGUACUAGUUGGUUUCUUAUAUUAUGAAGUGGGCAUCGAGUUGACCGAUGAUGCCUACCAAUACGUGUGUUUGUACUGAUACUACUCUUGCUAUGUCUUUUGACAUAGUCUGGUUGCAGGAUCACUGAGGUUUCAUUAGGUGAAGACGAAGAAAAUCUCCAACAGCUUCUGUUUUUCCUUCCGCAUGGUGGGAGCUGUGUCUUUUAAUUAUCAUGUCCAGUUGUACUCUUAGUAGCUCUUGUACCUGUUUAGACUAGAUCCUUGGGAGUUUUAAUUAUUUUACAAGUCUUAACUCGAAAUUGUUUUAAAGAUUUUUAAUAAAUAAUUCUGUUAGUAUGUUAUUCCAUUUAUUUAAUUUUCCACAUGUUUUAAGUUGUUGGGAUAUGAGGGUUCUCCUACUUAGGUGGUAGUAUGUAGGUGCCCGCAUGGCUCAGUGGGUUGGGUCGUGACAGAUACUUGACACCGUGUUUUAGAUUAUAUUUUCUUUACUAGUUUUAAGUUUCUAAUUUUGAAAAUACUCUUUAAACUUUGUUAUUUCUUUACCAAGUUAUCCAGUGUUAUUGUUCUAAGUAUCUUAAUAAUACAUAUUAACAAUAAUAUAUAGCAUGUCGACCCUCUUGACUUUCACGCGGUUUUACGUCUGAAUACAAUAAUGGUAUCACUCGUAACAUAAAUUUCUCCACAUCUAAAACUUAAAUUCAAUAUCUCCGAUUAAGACCAAAGAAGUCCCACCGUUACAUGAUAAUUAGUACUUCUUGACUUUCUCACGCUCUUUUACUUCUUAAUAUAAUAACGGAGUCACUCGUAAGUCGUAACGUAAGUUUCUCCACAUCUAAGACUUAAAUUUCUAUUAAUGUAUGAUGAGUUUGAUAAUACUUGAAUAAUUUAUGCAAUAUGCCCAGAUAUUUAUAUUGUCAAUUGUCUAAAUUCAAAUUAAUUUAAAUAAGAAUUGCUAAAAAAUUGUUACUUUGAAUGAGAGAUUUUAAUUGCGUUACUUUAUCGUCUAUCUAAUAUAUUGUUGCGAACACAUACAUAUAUUGUUUAUUUUCACUUUUUUUGUUUUAUUUUUAGUUUUUCUACGAUAUGUAUGAAUGAGAUUAACAACUUAAUUUUCAAAUAAAAAUGAGAGUUCCAUUUACAUUUGUGCAACACUAAGCCUAAUAAUUUUCUUAAAUAUGAGCAAUCUAUAUUGAUGGUAGUUUUCUACAAUGUUAAAACUCAAAUGGUUGGUGUGAUGACAAUUUUGAUUGUAAUAUUAUAAGAAUAAUUAAGUUUCAUUUUGUUUAGAUUUAGUAAUAUAAAUCAGCAAGAUUAUUCAAUAUUCUACUAUUGUUCAAGAGUAACAUUAUAACGUCUUUUGCAAUUGUUUUAUAUUGUUGCAACAUAUAUUAUCACAUGAAAAAUUGUAUUUUCACUUUCAAAUUGAAAAUACUUAUAUAUGUAUGUUGUACUAAUAUUCAUGUCAUUUUAGAAAGUUUGAAAUACUUGAUAGGAAUACAUGUGCGUUGCACGUGUCCAUAACUAAUACAUUAAAUAUGUGUAAACAUUAAAUUUAAGGUUAUGACUUUUGCUACUUUUCCAAAGAGGUGUGACAUAACGUACAAUAAAACCUUUGAGUGAUUCGCUAACGCCAAGGUAAUUUUAGGUACCAGUACACCAGUGAGUAAAACCGUUUUAUCUUGGGAGGAUAUAUUUCAUAAAUCGUACUUGACAUCGUGUUUUAGAUUAUAUUUUCUUUACUAGUUUUAAGUUUCUAAUUUUGAAAAUACUCUUUAAACUUUGUUAUUUCUUUACCAAGUUAUCCAAAGUUAUUGUUCUAAGUAUCUUAAUAAUACAAAUUAACAAUAAUAUAUAACAUGUCGACACUCUUGACUUUCACACGGUUUUACAUUUGAAUACAUUAAUGGUAUCACUCGUAACAUAAAUUUCUCCACAUCUAAAACUUAAAUUCAAUAUCCCCGAGUAAGACUAAAGAAGUCCCACCGUUACAUGAUAAUUAGUACUUCUUGACUUUCUCACGCGCUUUUACUUCUUAAUAUAAUAACAGAGUCACUCGUAAGUCGUAAUGUAAAUUUCUCCACAUCUAAGACUUAUAUUUCUAAUAAUGUGUGAUGGGUUUGAUAAUACUUGAAUAAUUUAUGCAAUAUUCCCAUAUAUUCAUAUUGUCAAUUGUCUAAAUUCAAAUUAAUUUAAAUAAGGAUUGCUAAAAAAAUGUUACUUUGAAUGAAAGAUUUUAAUUGUGUUACUUUAUUGUCUAUCUAAUAUAUUGUUGCGAAUACAUACAUAUAUUGUUCAUUUUCACUCUUUUGUUUUUUUUUAGUUCUUAUACGAUUUGUAUGAAUGCGAUUAACAACUUAAAUUUCAAAUAAAAAUGAGAGUUCCAUUUAUAUUUGUUCGUCACUAAGCCUAAUAAUUUUCUUAAAUAUGAGCAAUCUAUAUUGAUAGUUUUCUACAGUGUUAAAACUCAAAUAGUUGGUGUGAUGACAAUUUUGCUUUUGUACAUUUUGGUUGUAAUAUUAUAAGAAUAAUUAAGCUUCAUUUUGUUUAGAUUUAGUAAUAUAAAUCAGCAAGAUUAUUCAAUAUUCUACUAUUGUUCAAGAGUAACAUUAUAGCGUCUUUUGCAAUUGUUUUAUAUUGUUGCAACAUAUAUUAUCACAUGAAAAAUUGUAUUUUCACUUUCAAAUUGAAAAUACUUAUAUAUGUAUGUUGUACUAAUAUUCAUGUCAUUUUAGAAAGUUUGAAAUACUUGAUAGGAAUACACGUGCAACGCACGUGUCCAUAACUAAUACAUUAAAUAUGUGUAAACAUUAAAUUUAAGGUUACUUUUCCAAAGAGGUGUGACAUUUUCAAUAACGUACAAUAAAACCUUUGAGUGAUUCGCUAACGCCAAGGUAAUUUUAGGUACCAAUACACCAAUGAGUAAAAUCGUUCUAUCCUGAGAGGAUAUAUUCCAUCAACCUGGGUACGUGACACCAUGUUUUAAAUUCUAUUUUCUUUACUAGUUUUAAGUUUCUAGUUCUGAAAAUACUCUUUAAACUUUGUUAUUUCUCACAAAAUUAUUUGUUACUGUUCUAAGUAUCUUAGUAAUACAAAUUAACAAUAAUAAAUUGCAUGUCGACAAUCUUGACUUUCACGCGGUUUCACACUUAAUCCAAUAAUGACAUCACUUGUAACGUAAAUUUCUCCACAUCUAAAACUUAAAUUCAAGAUCCCCGAUUAAGACUAAAGAACUCCCACCAUUACAUGAUAAUUAGUACUUCUUGAGUUUUGCACGCUUUUACUUUUUAAUACAAUAACGGGGUCACUCGUAAGCCGUAACGUAAAUUUCUCCACAUCUAAGACUUAAAUCCAAUGUCCUCGAUUAAGAGUAAAGAAAUUCUACCAUUAUAUGAUAAUUAGUACUUCUUGACUUUCACGCGCUUUUACUUCUCAAUACAAUAACGAGGUCACUCGUAACGUAAAUGUCCCCACAUCUAAGACUUAAUUUAAUCCAAUCUCCUCGAUUAAAACUAAAUAAAUCCCACCAUUACAUGAUAAUUAAUAUUUCUUGACUUUCACACGGUUUUACGUCUGAACACAAUAACGGAGUCACUCGUAACGUAAAUUUCUCCACAUCUAAGGCUUAAAUCCAAUAUCCUCGAUUAAGACUAAAGAACUCCCACCAUUACAUGAUAAUUAAUACUUCUUGACUUUCACACGCUUUUACGUCUGAAUACAGUAACUGAGUCACUUGUAACGUAAAUUUCUCAACAUCUAAGACUUAAAUCCAACGUCCUCGAUUAAGAGAAAAGAAAUCCCACCAUUACAUGAUAAUUAGUACUUCUUAACUUUCGCACGCCUUUACUUUUUAAUACAAUAACAGCGUCACUCGUAACAUAAAUUUCUCCACAUCUAAGACUUAAAUCCAAUGUCCUAGAUUAAGACUAUAGAAAUUCCACCAUUAUAUGAUAAUUAGUACUUCUUGACUUUCGCACGCUUUUACUUCUUAAUACAAUAACAGACUCGUAAGUCGUAACGUAAAUUUCUCCACAUCUAAGACUUAAAUCUAAUGUCCUAGAUUAAGACUAACAAAAUCCCACCAUUAUAUGAUAAUUAGUACUUCUUGACUUUCGCACGCUUUUAUUUCUUAAUACAAUAACAGGGUCACUCGUAAGUCGUAACGUAAAUUUCUCCACAUCUAAGACUUAAAUCUAAUGUCCUAGAUUAAGACUAACAAAAUCCCACCAUUAUAUGAUAAUUAGUACUUCUUGACUUUCGCACGCUUUUAUUUCUUAAUACAAUAACAGGGUCACUCGUAAGUCGUAACGUAAAUUUCUCCACAUCUAAGACUUAAAUUCAAUGUCCUAGAUUAAGACUAAAGAAAUCCCACCAUUACAUGAUAAUUAGUACUUCUUGACUUUCGCACACUUUUACUUCUUAAUACAAUAACGGGGUCACUCGUAAGUCGUAACAUAAAUUUCUCCACAUCUAAGACUUAAAUCCAGUAUCGUCGAUUAAAAGUAAGGAAAUCUCACCAUUACAUGAUAAUUAGUACUUCUUGACUUUUGCACGCUUUUACUUCUUAAUACAAUAACGGGAUCACUCGUAACGUAAAUUUCUCCACAUCUAAGACAUAAAUCCAAUUUCCUUGAUUAAGAGUAAAGAAAUCUCACUAUUACAUGAUAAUUAAAACUUUUUGACUUUUACGCGAUUUUUACGGGAACAGUUCCACCAUUACACGACAAGCGGUGGUGUUAACUCUACUUAGUUUAUAACCAAGCGUUACAAACCCAACCAACCCCCCCACUCUACCCCUUCACAGUUCACACUACACAGAUGAAAAAAGGAGACAAGCACGUUCUCUGCAGGGAGCGGUAGAAAGCAACAAAUCAAGCCAUAUAUUAAGCUGUUUUUGGGUAAACUCCGUUACAGAGUUUUCUCUUUCUCUCUCUCUUUCUCUCUUUCUCUUUCUCUCACAUACAAAAUAGAAAAAGAAAUGAAAUUAUUAAGCUGUUGCUUCUUCUGUUGUUGCUCCUGUUUGUUCCAGUAGUAGUACUACUACUAUUGUUGGCUAUUUUUUUUUCUUCUGCAGUACUUAAAACUUUAUUUUUGGUUGGUGGGGGUGUUUCUUUAAGGCUUAUAUGUGUUGUUGGUAUAACAGGGAAGAAAUGUGGUGAAUUUUAGCUAGUUUUGAGAUGUUUUUUGAGCUAAUUACUUGAUUUUGAAUUCUGGGUCUUCUUUUGUUUUUGGAAUUGAAGUUUGAUUAUACUCAUGGCAAGUAAAAAUGGGUGUUAUCAGUCUCAGCAGAAGAAAAAUUCAUCAGGUGAAAGUUUGUUUUUUUUGAAGUUUAAUUUGAGAAUUUUGGAUCUUUUUUUGUUUUGUUGUUUAAAAUGUGGGUUUUUUGUGAUUUUUUUUUUGAGUUUCAGGUAAAGAUGAUCUGUAUCAUGAGCUAUGGCAGUUGUGUGCAGGUCCAAUAGUGGAUGUUCCAAAGGAAGGAGAAAGUGUUUAUUAUUUUCCACAAGGCCACAUGGAACAAGUAAGUUUUUUUUUUUUUUUAAAAAAAAUAAUUGAAUUCUGGGUUUUUCUGUUUUAGGUGAAUCUGGUUGAUUCAAAGCUAAGUUCUUGUUUUUGAGUUAUGGAGUUAUGAAUGUUUGGGUCAAUUAUUGGAUUUCUCAAUUUGAGUGUAUCUUUUUUGGUUAUUUUUAGUUAUGUUUUCUGGGGAUUGUAAAAUUUGUAUCUUUCUCUUUUUGUCUCACUUUUUUUGGUUUUGUGGAAAAGUUGGUAGCAUCAAUUAAUCAAGAAAUGGAUCAAAGAGUUCCAUCAUUCAAUCUCAAAUCAAAGAUCCUUUGUAGAGUUAUCAACAGUCAUUUCCUGGUAUGUUUACUUUUUAUUGUGUUCUUUGAUCAGUAUAUUUUACAUACAUUGUAUUCAUACUUGUUAGUAUUGCAUCCAAAAGAAGUGAUGAAUUAAUUGUUGGGUUCAAAGUUCAAACAUUGGAAGGUGAGCCUUGGCGUAUGCGUAGCUGGCAAAGUUGUCGGCUUGUCGUGAUGUGACCGCCCAUGAGCUCACCGAUUCAAGCAGUGGAAACGGUCUCUUGCAGAAAUGCAGGGUAAGGCUGUGUACAAUAGACCCUUGUAGUCCGGUCUUUCCCUGAAUCACACACAUAGCGGGAGCUUUAGUGCACCGGAAUGCGUUUAAAGUUCACACAAUUUUAUAUUUGAAAUGUAAAAUGUUUUGAUGAUUGCUUGUAGGCUGAGGAAGAUAAUGAUGAGGUCUAUGUCCAGAUCACUUUGAUGCCAGAGGCACCAGAUGUAAGAAGUUAAAAUUGUUGUAGUAUUCACUUGUUUAUAUGCAUUUUAUUGAUCAAUUUGGUUGUAAUUGCUGAUCUGAUUUUUAGAAAGCCGAGCCGACUAAUCCUGAUCCGUUCCUUCCGGAGCCUGUAAAGCCUAAAGUCCAUUCUUUCUGCAAGGUUCUGACUGCCUCCGAUACAAGCACUCAUGGUGGAUUUUCUGUUCUAAGGAAACAUGCUAAUGAAUGCCUUCCUCCCUUGGUAAUAUAAGUGUGAUCCUUUUGUAUAGGCUAGCCUACAUUUCCCCCCCUGUUUUGACAAGUUGUUGAAUUAGCUCUCGUGUUUGUUAUACUUUGUUAGGACAUGAACCAGCAGAUUCCGACCCAGGAAUUGAUUGCGAAAGACCUUCAUGACAUGGAGUGGCACUUCAAGCAUAUAUUUAGAGGUAAUUGUUUUGUUUGUAGUGUGUAACAGAAGAUAUCAAUGAAGCUUUAUCAUGUAUUUGUAAAGGUCAAAACUCAUCCGUCGUUGUUUUAAUUAUAACAGGCCAACCUCGGAGACAUUUACUUACCACAGGGUGGAGUAACUUUGUUUCUUCAAAGAGAUUAGUGGCAGGGGAUUCUUUUGUAUUCUUAAGGUAUCUCUCUCUGGUCCUAGUUUCUCGUAUGAGUAUGAUAUUUGAUUGCAUUAUCUAUCACUAUUGCAUGUCAUGUCAUAUAUCCAGAACAGUUAAUGUUGGUUUGUUAAUAAUCAUAUUUUAAUGGAUGUGUAUGCUCUAGGGGUGAUAAUGGAGAACUACGAGUUGGGGUCAGACGGCUUGUUCGCCAGCAGAGCUCAAUGCCGUCAUCGGUGAUAUCAAGCCAGAGCAUGCACCUAGGAGUCUUAGCUACAGCAUCUCAUGCUGUUACAACCCAGACCUUGUUUGUUGUUUACUACAAACCGAGGUUUGUCACAUACAUCUCUUUUCAAUUAUCCCGUCAUCCUUAUGCAAAGUAGAGAUCAUUUUCAUGCCAGAGAACAUACUAAAUCUUUCAUAUGCUCUUUCGAUUUUCUGCUGUGACAACCUUCAGAACCACUCAGUUCAUCGUAAGCCUCAACAAAUACUUGGAGGCUGUUAAUCAUGGAUAUUCAGUUGGCAUGCGAUUUAAAAUGCAGUUUGAAGCGGAAGAGAAUCCUGAUAGAAGGUAGUGAUAUCAAUUACUCCCUAGCUCCAUUUUGAUUCAUUUGUCUUACUUUCCUUUUUAGUCUGUUUAAAAAGAAUGCAUCUUUCCCUUUUUGGCUUUAAUUCAACUUUCCACCUGACAUCUUUCUUAAAUUCCGUGCCAAGUUAAAAUCAGCAAAUAAAUUGAAAUGGUGGGAGUAUUCAGAAGUCCUCCAAUUAGAUGUGGAAGUCUUUGAUCAAGAUGUUUAUUUGCCAACUGCUUAGUUCUGACAUGUAUUUGGUUUUUCUUGGGCUCUUCCCUUGUUAUUUCUCAGAUUUAUGGGCACUAUAGUUGGGGUUGAUGAUCUUUCCUCACAGUGGAAAGAUUCUGCGUGGCGAUCCUUGAAGGUUGAUAUCUUUGUUUGAACAUUUAUAUUUCAGCAAUAUUCUUUAAGUUCAGUUGGUAAUCACCAAUUCUCCCUUCGUUCCAGGUUCGAUGGGACGAGCCUGCAGCCAUUGCAAGGCCUGACAGAGUUUCUCCUUGGGAAAUCGAACCUUAUGUGUCUUCAAUUCCAAAUGCCCUUGUCCCACCAACCGCAGGGAAGAACAAAAGGCAUCGGCUACAUAGUGAAAUCAAAAUAUCAGGUCUGAAUGAAAAUUCUCAACAGCAUUGUGUUUUUUCAAGUGUUGGUUGCUGAUAUUUUAAUUUCCAUUUUCAUUUUCUUAAUUAUCUUGCCUUUCUUUUCCUGUUAGAACCUGCAUCCUCAAUUGCGUCAGCAGUUUGGAAUCCUUCCCUCGACUCGCCUCAGUUUAACACCUCUGGCAUCAACAGCAGUACUAAUUGCACAUUAACGUCUCGUACAGAGAGUGGUUGGCCGCUUCCUCAUUUAAAUACUGCAGGUAUGCUUGUGGAUGAGACAGAAGACAGUAGAAGUGCUUCAACUUGGUGUGGUUUUCCAUGCGUUUUGGCCCCGCAAUUCGGUCAAGGGACUAAUCAGCCGAUUGUUAUUCCUACUGAUGAGAGAAAAUGUAAUACCAAAACAACCUGUAGAUUAUUUGGUAUUGACUUGAAAAAAACCUCAAUUAGCACUACUGAGGCACUACUACCGCCACAGCCAGCCGACAUUUCUCGUGUCUCCGCAGAGAGAGCGCCUCCAAACAUGGCGCCUGCUGGUGAUUCAGAUCAAAAGUCUGACCUUUCAGUAGACUUCAAAGAUCAAAUGCAAGGCCAUUUGCGGUUACCCCUAAAGGAGGUUCAAAGCAAGCAGAGUUGUUCCACCAGGUCUCGCACAAAGGUAUUAAUCAAAAGCCGAAAAAUUGCAUUCUUACCAACUCAUUUUCUCCUCAAAAGAUAUUAUUAAUAUCUCUAACAUCUUUUCUCAUGUGGAAUCCCUUGAGAAGGUGCAAAUGCAAGGCGUAGCUGUAGGUCGUGCAGUGGAUUUAACCAUAUUGAAAGGAUACAAUGAGCUUACAAAGGAGCUUGAGGAGAUGUUUGAAAUCCAAGGAGAGCUUCAGUCACGACAGAAAUGGGGGAUCUUGUUUACAGAUGAUGAAGGGGAUACGAUGCUUAUGGAUGAUUAUCCGUGGCAGUAAGUUCUCUCUCACUUUAACAAUUCAAGACUGAAAUACAUAUAUAACCACUGCAUAAGAUCUUUGCUACAUCCUAUAAUUUAACACGUCGCGUAAUCACUUAAUUGCAGAGACUUUUGCAAUGUGGCGAGGAAAAUUUUCAUUUGUUCAAGUCAAGAUAUGAAAAAAUUGACCCUGUCUCGCGCAGACAGUUAAGCGACUCCUUUCAAAUGAAAUGAUGGCGGAAGAUGGUGAAAGUUAAGACUCCGCCUUUUGAAGUUGUAUCAUUUUGUGAUCUCUUCGACUUCAUUCUCCAGAUAUAGUAGGAAAGAACGACAGGGUGUUGACAUAGCAAGGCGUAGAAGCUUGUUUUUACGCUCUUUUUAGCCUAGUUCAUGCUCGGUUUUGAGAGCAGUUAAGUAAGUAACUAGUUAUAAUAGGAUAAGACUAGUAAAGAUAUAGUACUGGAAGUUGUAAAAAGUUAACGGUGUUCUCUAAUGGGGAGUCUAGUAGUGGUUUGUGUAGUGUUCUAUUCGCGCGUUAACCUGUAAAUACUCAUGUGUCAUUGCAGUAUUCUGCAAUGUAUCGUCUUGUUAGCGUGCUUCAUCUUAAUGAAAACUCCAUGGUGGAAAUUGCUCUAUACUUGCCCUUUCUGUGAGACUUGUGUGAUGCACAAUAGGGAUUUCUUGUGUAAAGUUAGACUCUUUUGGCACAUCAUGCAUCACUUUGUAAGUUUUCCCCUUUACUGAACAAAAAAUCAUCAAAACGCUCCCUCACGUGUGUGUUUUAUUCUUUGCUAAAGGGUGAUGCUAAGAUUAAAAUUCGAUAUCGUGUUCUUUACUAAAAGGGUGACAAUAAGACUUGAACUCAAAACCUUUGUCUGUUUUUAUUACUAUGUUAAAUUAUGUGCUCUCUUUAUUUUGAAGUUUAAUAAGUUUUUGAUUCAUUAAUUGACUUUGGUUAAGAUGUUGAGUGCAAAAUAAAUAGAUGGUUCAUCUUUUGAGCCUAGCGUAGAGUCAUUUUCCUUUAAACUUUAUAAAGCACUUACAAUCACAUAUUUUUGCAUUCUUAGUGCACGUUUGACCAUGGAUAAUUUUCACUAUUUUAUGAAACUUUAUAUUAUAAUUUUUUGGAAUUCGAAUAACUCCAAAAGACUGUUUUCAUAAUUUUAUUUCAAAUCACUCCUACAAAAAUCAAAAACAAUUUCAAGUUGUAUUCAUUUUCAAGCACAAGUUCAAUUUCCCAAAUAUCACUUUUAACACAAAUACUACUUCUUUUCCCUUCAAAAUUAACUGCCACUAAGUUCCUUUUUGAAACUCUGGACUUUUAGUGAAAGGAUGGCAUGGACCAAAAAAAUUAAUGGGCCUUACUUAAAAUUGGGCUUUAUGAAUUGUUUGGUCUUCAAUAUCCCUAUCAUAGCUAGGAAGAGUGUCCAUAUAGUCAUGGGCCUCAUGAGUUGUCAAAUGUCACGUAAAGGUAUUUGUCUUUGCAUGAGUGCUAUCUCACGCUCAAAACUUCUUUGUUAUGAGUCUGAGUCGUUGUGUUUUGUUUCCAUGCUUGGCUUGCGUGAUUUUCACUUCUGAUGUUUUGUGUCAUCCCCAAUCUUAUUGAAAUGACUAUGAAGGAGUUAGUCAAGUAACUCAGAGUUUCGAUCGAUUCACGUUCGCCUUCACUAAUCUGAAUUGUUCUUCAGAUAAUAAAUAUUCAAUGUUCCAUCUUCGGAAAUCAACACUUUUAAUGUUAUUUGACGACUUGACGUACAAUAAAUUAUAUAUGCCUAGUAUGAAUCUAUACCCCAGAGGUUAUAAACUCGUCGGAUUUGUUGACCAAAAUAUCGAUCAUGACUUGAUAAGGAUGGAUUUUAACUCCAUCUUUGUGGUAUACAAAAAUGUUAAUUUUUUUCUCUAGAAUUUAAAAUAAAAGAUGUGGAUUAAUUUGCCCACUCAAUAAAAGGAAAUGAUAAAAUAAGAAAAGAGAAACACAACAAAAUACAAAAAUAUAAUUAAUUAAUCAAUCAAUAUUUGAGUGUGCCUUCUAAUUGUUCAAUUGAGAAUCAUGUAAAGGUAUAGAAGUAAUUGACACAAUAAGAGUUUUGGGAGUCAACCAAUCAUUUUCUAGUUCAUAUAUCAUAGGAGAUUUAGAAAAAUAUAAAAAUGAGUGGCCAUGGAUGGUUUGAUAUUCGAUCUGAUUUUCUAUGAUUUACGUUAAGUGACAUAAAUUAAAGAUAAAUUAUUGAUAACUUCGUAGUUGUUGGAGUAUAAAACACACCAAUAUUGACUUCUUGGAGUGGGCAUGGAUGGUCUGAUUUUCGAGUCGAUUUCCUAUGAUUUAUGAUAAGUGGCAUAAAUUAAAGAUAAAUUAUUGACGAUUUCGUAGUUAUUGGAGUAUAAAACACGCUGACAUUGACUUCUUGGAGUUUAGUAAUCAUAAUAUUUUUUUUAAAAGACAAAUCUCCUCCAUCAACUUCUUGAUUUUAGUAGUAAUCCAUCCAUUAAGGUACAUUCAUGACUUGAUGUGUUCGAUUUAAUAUUUAUUGUACUGAAAAAAUUAUGAAUUUUAAUCUAACAUUUGUUGCGAUUUUUUCGUGAAUUUUACAUAUAGAUCUAUGAUCAACAUAAAAAAAAUAUUGAUUUAGAUAAAUUUGGUAUCGAAACACUACUACUUCAUAAUAACCUUAAGUCAUAUUUGAUCAUGACCUAUAUGUAUAAUUUAACUUAUAAGGGGUUCUAAUUGAACAGAGGUGGAUAUAGGGCCCAUAUAUGAACUUACGUAAAUUCAAUAACUUUUGUUAAGAUCAUAUUUAACAAUGACUUAAGUUCUUAUUGUAAUAUUAACUUGAGAUCGUUAUAAAUUAUAUGUAUAUAUACAAUUUCCUCUCGCUUUAUACAAACACAUUUUAUACAUUUGUGUUUGUAUAAAAGCGAGAGAGGGCGAGUGAGACUGCCACCAAACGAGAGUGGCGAGCGAGAUUCCACCAGGGAGAGUGGCGAAAAUAGCAAUAGUUUGCUAUAGGGUACAAUUAAAUCAAAGUAUAUUUAUAGCAUUUAAUUUGAAUUAAUAGUUUGCUAUUAUAUACAAUUUUCCCUUAUAAAAUUCAUAAACUUUAAAUCUUAGAUCCAUCUCGAUCUAUAACUGGCCAUCCUUUGUGUGUUCUCUAUAGCAACUGGCUAGGAGUUUAAAAUACAUCCCUUAUAACAAAAAAUUGGAAUACCACAAACUUCGUAGCUAAAUUAACUUUUUAAUAAUCUGCAAUUUAUACAUUUUGUUUCUGUUUGUAUAAGCGAGAGAGGCAAGGGUGGCGAGCGAGAUUCGGGAGAGUGGCGAGUGAGAUCUAAAAGAGGGGGAGAGAGGGGAACGAAAAUAUAUGUAUAUAUACAAUUUUCUCUCGCUUUAUACAAACACAAACGCAUUUUAUACAUUUGUGUUUGUAUAAAAGCGAGAGAGGGCGAGUGAGACUGCCACCAAACGAGAGUGGCGAGCGAGAUUCCACCAGGGAGAGUGGCGAAAAUAGCAAUAGUUUGCUAUAGGGUACAAUUAAAUCAAAGUAUAUUUAUAGCAUUUAAUUUGAAUUAAUAGUUUGCUAUUAUAUACAAUUUUCCCUUAUAAAAUUCAUAAACUUUAAAUCUUAGAUCCAUCUCGAUCUAUAACUGGCCAUCCUUUGUGUGUUCUCUAUAGCAACUGGCUAGGAGUUUAAAAUACAUCCCUUAUAACAAAAAAUUGGAAUACCACAAACUUCGUAGCUAAAUUAACUUUUUAAUAAUCUGUCGUAAGUAAAAUACUUAGAAUUAGCUAUAACUUUUAUUAUUUAGCUAUAAAAGUCAUUCACUUUGUUCUAUAUUAUUAUUAGUAUUCAGUAAUAAUAUCUUGGAUAUGAAUAUUUUUAGUAUUCCAUUUCGAACGGCACAUGGUUGAAAUUGUUUUGUUGGUCACCAAUCACCAUCACUUAUAUUUUAUGGCUAUUAAUUAUGUCAUAUCUCUCACUAAUCAAUGCUAGUUAAACAGUAGCGAAAUUAAAAUUUUCAUCAAAAUAUUUAAAUUUUAACUAAAAUAACAGUAACGUAACCUUGUUAGUCAAUUACUAUAAAUUGAAUGACUAUUUGAGUUAUUAAUCAUAUCAAAUUUAGACAAAAAUGUUGUUGUAUUUAAGUUGUAUAAUCUUAGGUAUAUUGUUUAAGUAGUUGAGAAAAGAUCACCAUUCAUUUUUUUAAAACCAUUUAUGUCAAUUAGACAUUACAUUUAUGAAAAGAGCAUUUGAUCAGUACCCUCCAAAAGGGAUUUGUUGGAGAUUCCAAAUUCCAAUUUACAUGUGCAAUAUUGAUUGGCAUGAUUACAAUCACUAAGUUUCAAUCAGGUGUUAGAAAUCGAAAGAUACUGAUUAUUUAGGUGUUAGAAAUUGAAAGAUACUGAUUAUUUUUCAAAGACAAGAUCAAAAAGUGAUCGUAUAUCAGACGUACUUCUCUUUUCAUGCGUCUUUUAGAAGAGAUCAUCAUAGAAAAAAGUAAUUUAGUUAUUAUUUUUUUAAGCUGAAAAAACUAGUAAAAGAAUGAAUCAAUAAAAUUGCCUUGAAAGCUAUAUCUACGACAUAUAAUGCUUGUAAAUUUUAAAUUCCAUUUUCUUAAUACAUUGUGACAAAACAUGAUAUUCUUGUUGAGGUAUAUAUGGUCAAGAAUACAAGAACAAGAAUAUAGAGAAUCUCAUUAUUUUAUUUAACAAAUCAACCUAAUUCCAUCUUUUUAAUUAUUUAAAUGCAAACAUAUUUUAAAAAAGGUCUUCAUUUUAUCUUAAGAGAUUUUUUAUAAGUACACAUUUUUUUAAAAAAUAAAUAACUAACUACACUUUUGAUACGUGCUUAAAGAGUUCUCUUUCUUUCUCAAAUUUUGUACACAAUUAACAUAACCGUAUAAUAUCAAAGUGAAGAAGUAGCUAAAUUAUAUUUAUGGGGUAAACUAUUGUACACUUACAAUGCAUAUAACAUAAAUUUUAAAUGAAAAUUAAUUUUAAAACAGCCCUUUCGGCUGUAAAAUCUAUAUGAUUACAAACAUUAAACUUUCAUAUUAGUUUAUGAAAUUCAAGAGUAAUAGAGAACAAGUGAGGCCAAAGCAUGCUCAGAUCGUUAAACAUCUUUAUCAUUGAUCGAUAAGUUAAGAAUUUGAGUCACCCAAAAAAUUAUUUAUCAUCUUGAGAAUAAGGUGAAGAAGAAAAUAAAAAUUAAAAAGAGAAAUAUUGAAAUACAAAUUAAUUAUUUAAAGACGUAUACCAAGCAAUAACAACUUCCUCUUACAAAAGAAUAAAAAAAUUCUAACCCCAUCUUCAAGUUCAAACAAAAUUUCAACAUCCAUUAUUUUUUUCUUAAUUUCCACUUCAAGUACUUUUUUAAUACAUAUUAAAAUUCAACUAAAAUAUUGUCCAUACACCAACUACUCCAUUUGUUCAUUUUCAUUUAUUCCGUUUCGACUUUACACACAUUUUUUAAAAAAAAAUUGACAUAAAUAUUUUAUCACAAUAUCUCAGUAGCACUUCUAAAUAUCUUCAAGAGUUAGUUUAGAAGAAACUAUUUCCACUCAAAAACCUUUAAACUAUUUCUAAGUAAAAUACACGUUCAAACACUACUUCAAAAAUUUAAAAUUUUACUUAAAUUUCAAGAUUCAACUUCAAAAUCUAUAAUCAGCUUAGUUUUAGAUCUUGAAAAUGAUUCAAAGAAUAAAUACCUAAUGUAGAGAUAAGAGUAAAACAUGAAUAAAAUUUGUUUUUCUCAAUCUUGAUACAACAAAAAUAAUAAAUAAAAAUGAAAAAUAUAUUUUUUAAUAUAAUGAACACUAAAAAUAAACGGAGGGAGUAUUUUGGAAUCCUUCCUAUAAAUAGCACUCCUCUCACUACAAUAAUCUAUCACUCCAUCAUCUACUCUAAUAACACACUUCAAGAAAAAAUGGAAACCACCACCACCUCUGCCGCCGUCACCACCACCGUUAACACCGGCGGUCUUCACUCCGUCAAGGUGAAUCCACGACACCACAUCCUCAACCGCGCAUUUGCACUUAUUUACCUUUUUGCCAUCCUAGUUCUUUUCUAUAACCAUAUACUAAAACUCCUAAAUUCCACAAAUUCCUUUAUAACUUUCUCCAUAGCAUUUUCCAUUUUAAUUUCAGAUUUCAUCUUAGCCUUCAUGUGGACAACUAUUCAAUCUUUUCGUAUGCGUCCACUAACACGUCAACAAUAUCCCCAAAAAAUAACAAAAAACUUUAGUUAUGAUAUUAAUAAUUUUCCAGCACUCGAUAUAUUUAUUUGUACGGCAGAUCCUUAUAAGGAGCCACCGUUAAACGUCGUUAACACGGCGUUAUCAGUUAUGGCCUAUGAUUAUAAUCCGAUCGAAAAAAUAUCGAUUUAUGUAUCGGACGAUGGAGGAUCGGAGCUUACGUUAUUUGCUUUUAUGGAAGCUGCAAAAUUUGCUGCAUAUUGGUUGCCUUUUUGUAGGGAAAAUAAAAUAAUUCAAAGGUCUCCAGACGCAUAUUUCAAUUCUAAUUACACAGAAAAUUCGGAGACAAAGAAAAUCAAGGUAUGCUUUUUUUUUCUCGAAUAUAUAUUACUACUAAACAGAACGUCUAACGUCUAGUGAUUUUUUUAAAUUAAUAAUAGAAAAUUAGUUGAUUUUCAAUAUUACUAAAUCAUGAUUAUAAUGUUUUGAUUUUUCAAAAAUAUCUUAACGUAUAGGUCGGAUAUUCCUUCAAAGAUAUAUUAUUACUAUUUCGAUAUAAUGAUUUAUUUAAGAAUUCGAGCAACAUAGAAACACAAGAUUUUUGGCACGGUUAUUUCUGCAAGCAUGCAUGUGCGAUGUACAUUUAAUUUAUAUUAUAGCCUUCGUUUCAGAUCUGGCUAAGUUUAUUUAUGCGAUAUUUUGGUAAAUUUGUUGUCUAGCAAUUAUUGAUAAAGGGACAUAGAGGUUUGGUACGAUUGAUUUUAUGGUCUAUUAUAAAUAUUAUAUUUAGUUAUAUUAUAUGGUCUUUUCUAUAAGAUGUCGGGUCCCAAUUUAAUAUAUAUGUGGUAGUUUUCACUUUUCGAAAGCUGAUUUGUUUAAUAUUUGAAGUUGAAUUAAAUUUGAUCAAACUAAUAUUAAUUAAAAUUUAUAAGAUAUUCAAAAUAUAUACAAUAAUACUGUAAGUUGCGCAAAAAAUAUAAGUACUUUAUAAAAAUGUUUAUCAAAGUUCACAGAGUUUCAAAAAUUGAAAAGUGACAUAAAUUUAAAAUGAAAGAGUAAUAUGUAACAUAUGAGAUCGUAAAAAAUACAUGAAAUCUUUAUAAAACCAUUUCCCUCUAUUUAAUUAAAUAUAAUUUGUGAUAGGAAAUCAUGAUUCUGGCUAAGGGAAAUUACGAAUAGAAUAUUUGUUUAUCUUACACGAUAUUUCGUAUUUCUAUAUAUUUUAGUUCUUCGAGAUUCAAAUUACGCCGUAUUUUAGUCAAUAUUUUAAAAUAUAAUUAUACAAGAAGAUAAACAACUUGCACUUUGAUUGACUAGUAUCUGGCCUGAGUUAAUUUCAUCAAUUAUCUGAACAUAUUUCAUUAGAUACUUAUUCGUCAUUUUGUUUUUGAAUUCAACCUUUCUGACGUUAUAGCUAAGACAAAAAAAACAGAUAUUUUCUUUAAUUUGUCAUUAUUCAUUUAAAAGUAGCAAAAUAACUAAACUAGUAUAUAUAAAAUGCUCAUAUGUCAUGUUUUUGUUAUAUAAUGUAUUUGACUAAUAAAUCUAGCCAAUAAUAUUGUCACAACUCUUUUAAGAAAAUCUUAUAUUAUUUUUAAAAUGUCAUAAAGCCUUUUACUAUUAUAUACUAGAAUCUUUAUCUUAGGUUAUAAAAGAAAAACAAAUUAUUAUUUUUCCUAGGUAUAUAUAUACAUGAUAUAAUUUUAACAUAAAAAAAUAUAUUUUCACUUAUCUUUCAAUGUGACUCAAGAUAUUAUAUUAUUUAUCUUAUUUCCGAUUGGACUUAAACUUUAUGAAUUUUAUAUUAUAUGUGUAGUUGAUGUAUGAAAACAUGAAGAAAAGAAUAGAAGAAGUGAUUGAGAGGGGAAAAGUGGAUGAAGAUUAUAUUAACAACGAGGAAGAACUUCAAGCUUUUACCAAAUUUUGGACGCCUGAAUUUACUCGUCAUAAUCAUCCUUCUAUUAUUCAGGUAUAUAUAUAUAUAUAUAUCAUAACAGUUUAAUUCACUCGUGAUAUUGUCAUUUUCAACUUAAUUCUAUGACCUUAAAAUAUAUUUCAAUAUUUUGUUAAUAUGAGACUGUCUAAUUUUAAAAUGUGUCACUAUAAAAAGUACAAAAUUACUAAUUAGCUAUUAAUUAAAAGUGCUUAACACAUGUUGCCAAAGAGUCUAAUUUGCGUUUGAUUGUAAACAUGUUACUUAAGAUCAUAUGUUUGGUGAUUAAUUAGGUAACAUCAUAUAUUUAACUUAUCCUUUUAUCAAAUUGGUUGGUGUAGGUUUUGUUAGAAAGUGGCAAAGAUAAAGACAUGACAAGUCAUGGGAUGCCAAAUCUUAUUUAUCUUUCAAGAGAAAAAAACAAGAGUUCCCCUCAUCAUUUUAAAGCAGGUGCCCUCAAUGCAUUGGUAAGUAAAAUCUCAUCAAUUUUAUUUUUUAAAAACAAUUUAUAUUUAUAAAAAAUAUUUUUACUAAUAGUGUAAAUAUCUUUUAAUAAUAUUAAGGAAAAAAGGGCAAAUAUAUCCCUCAACUUGAUUUGAAAUAUAUUCCUCUAUCAUUUAACAAAUGAUACAUAUUUCAACGAUCAGUAAAAAUAUGUAUUUAUCUACUUAGUUUUUGUGGUUUUUUUUACUUUAGUCUAUUAACGAAAACAAUUAAUAUGCAUCGUUUAUUAGUAGCGAAGGUAUAUACGUUCUAAAUUGCAGAGUCAAGGAAUAUAUUUGUCUCUUUUCCAUGUAAUAUUUACACUUGAUGUUGAUAUCUUCGAGUAUAUGCAUCAUUUUUUCAGUGAAUGAUAUAUAUGUUCUAAACAUCGAAGUCAAGGAUUAUAUUUGCCUCUUUUCCCUAAAAUAUUAUCGAAUUGAUUAUUAAUUUCUUCUUGUGAUAGCUUCGAGUAUCGGGAAUAAUGACAAAUGCACCAAUAAUAUUGACACUUGAUUGUGAUAUGUACUCUAAUGAUCCAUCAACACCUCAACGGGCUUUAUGUUACUUCUUGGACCAAACAUUACGGCCCAAUUUAGCCUACGUUCAGUUUCCUCAAACUUUUCAUGGGCUUAAUGAAGCAGAUACUUAUGCAAGUGAGAUAAAAGGCCUGUUUUUUACUAAUCCAAUAGGCAUGGAUGGGCUUAAUGGGCCUAAUUAUGUUGGAACUGGAUGUUUUUUUCGUCGUCGGGCUUUUUUCGGAACUCCAUCUAUGUUCGAGCAUCCCGAAAUUCCAGAACUGUUUCCGGAUCAUGUUGUGAAUAAGCCCAUUAAGGCCCAAGAAAUUUUGCGGCGAGCCUAUUAUGUAGCGAGUUGCAACUAUGAGAGUGGAAGUAAUUGGGGUUCCAAGGUGAGCUUUAGUUUACAUUGCACUACCAACUUUUUUUUAGUGGCAGUUGGUUUGAAUUUGCCAUGUGAUAUUUCUAGUAUACAUGGUAAAUUCGAACUAAUUCCCACAAAAAAGAAUAAUUGCACUGGUUACUUCUUCGUGGCAAUUGGUUCGAACUUUUGAUAUAUAUUAGAUCAUGUUGCCACGAAAAAAUUGCUAGAGCCGAAGACAACAAGUUCAUAAGUCAGUAACUGUGGUGUAUAAUGUAUGUAUAAUCCGUGUUUAAUAUGUAUAUUAUCAGUAUAAUCAGUGUAUACUCUAUGUACACCAGAUAGAAAAAGUAAACAAUGAAUCCGUAGGACUAACAAUUUCAAAAUUAUGCAGAUUGGAUUUAGGUAUGGAUCACUUGUUGAGGAUUACUAUACUGGUUAUAGGCUUCAAUGUGAAGGUUGGAAAUCAGUAUUUUGCAAUCCUAAAAGGCCUGCAUUUUUAGGAGAUAUACCAAUUUCUCUCUAUGAUGUGGUCAGCCAAAACAAGAGAUGGUCUGUGGGCCUUCUUGAAGUUGCUUUCUCAAAAUAUAGCCCAUUAACUUUUGGGGUUCAGUCCAUGGGCCUUGUUAUGGCCCAUUGUUAUGCUCACUAUGCAUUUUGGCCCAUUUGGUCGAUACCACUUACUCUAUAUGCUUUCAUCCCUCAACUUACUCUUCUCAAUGGGGUUACCAUCUUUCCAAAGGUAUGCACCAAUUCAUUUUGGUCCUUUUUAAUAUAUGACUCAACAUAUUUAACGUUCAAUUAAUUAAGUUAUGUGUUUCAGUUCCCUUUGAUGUAGAAAAUACAUUAUAUUAUCGUCAUAUACAAAGCGACACUACAUAUAUAGAGCAUAGCACAUGACUAAUUAAGUGGUGGAACAACUAAUCUUAUGGUAAAUUUGUGGAUAUUGACAAGCAAAUGAAUAGAAGGUGUAAUUGUUUUUCUGAAGGUUUAAUGUUUUUUUUUAUAUUGAUUUCAGGUUUCAGACCCUUGGUUUUUCUUGUAUGUUUUUAUGUUCCUCGGAGCGUAUGGACAAGAUUGCUUGGUUUUUAUGUCUAAUGAAGGGACAUUUAAAAGGUGGUGGAGUGACCAAAGAAUGUGGAUGAUAAGGGGAUUAACAUCUUUCCUAUUUGGAACAAUUGAGUAUUUAACUAAACACUUGGGCAUAUCGACACAAGGGUUCAACGUAACAAGCAAAGUAGUCGAUAAUGACCAAGGUAAAAGGUACCAUCAAGGAAUUUUCGAGUUUGGGGUUGUUUCGCCUAUGUUUGUGAUACUAGCAACAACAUCAAUCAUCAAUUUAGUAGCAUUUCUCAAAUCAUUAGCACAAAUUAUCAAGGGUGAUCAAAAUUUGGAUAGAAUAUUUAUCCAAAUGUUUAUUGCUGGUUUUGUUGUUAUAAAUUGUUUGCCAAUUUAUGAAGCUAUGGUUUUGAGAAAUGAUAAAGGAAGAAUGCCUACAAGGGUCACUAUUUUCUCAACAUUUCUUGCUUGUACUCUCUAUAUGGCAUUUGCUUUUCUUCUAGGAAAUAUGUAAUGGCAAAGUUUAGUGUUUUUUUUUUUAACUUUGAGACCUUUUGUUAUUGUUCUUGUAGUCUUAGUUUAGUUAAGAAGCAAUAUAAGAUUUAGUUGAAAUAUUCAAGAAUAAAAGGAUUAUGUAGAUCUUAUUUAUAUUUUAGUGUAUGUGAAUCAAGUCUGGUAUUUUGGAGAUUAAUUAGUGAUCUUUUUUCAAAUUUUGAUCUUCUAUAUCCACAAACUCUUUUUUGUCUAUAUUCAAACAAAAUUUCAAUUUCAUUCUGACGGUCAUAUUCCUUAUCAAAAUAAAUAAAAAAGGUUUUCAUAUUUAAUGUCAUUCUAAAGUUCGUUCUAUAUAUAAAUAAUAUCGAGAUUAAAAUGAAGUUAUAGUUAGACCCCACAUCCGCUUUCUUGGAAUUAACUGAUAGGCACUUAGUUUUUCAUAGAACAAGCGAAAAAUGACAUGCAAAAUCAAACAAGGCAAAAAGAUGGUGCAUAAAAUCCCCCCACCUCACCAAAAAGUAAAAAAACUUGGUGCUUGCUCGUGACACAUAGGGCUUGCUUUUCGUGAUUAGUGUGAAAUAGAUGUUAGACUCAAUUCAUCAACAAACAGAAGGAUACAACAUCACUCUCGGAAUAAAAGACGACAGAAUUUGACUACCCUAAGCUAGAGGACUUGACGGACCUACUCCUAUCAAAAAGCGAGACUUUACUAAACAUGCAAGAAAGGUGAGAAUAGUCAAUGAAUCGGAAGAGGAAUGUUGAUCGCCUUAGUUUGGUUUGCCUUCUCAUCCAGCUUAAGAUCGGCCAGAUGGGCUUUUGCUUUGUUUACUCGGAGUUCUUUCCGUCUAGUCUGGUUUGCUUCUUUGCGUCACUCGCGGAGUUCUAGUUAGGUGAAUUAUAUCUAUUAUAUCAAGAUUUCUUUUUUGAGUCCACUAAAAGCCCAUUUAUGGCACGUUUAACCCAUUGAAGGGCUUGACUCUUGUGGGAUGGGAUGUGCUCAGCCGCCUCCAACUUUUUCUGUGGUCUUCUAACACAAAAAGAAGAAUAUUUUGGUCUUUGAAGGAAUGAAAAAAAGGAGAGACUGGUAGAGCUCCUCUUUGUCAGCCUUCUAGCUCAUUUUAAAGCGUUGAAGAGAGAGAUAGGACAUUCUAAGCACCACCUCAAAGGACGGACCAAAAACACAAAAUUGACAAUUUAAGUUUUAACUUAUCAUUGAAUCUUUUCAUCAAAUAGUAUAACAGGAAGCUUAUCAUUUUUGAGCAUCCCCUUUACAUCUACAUCACCCUACAAAACAAGAAAACUAUCAGCAAACUUUUCAUGGUUUCUUGAAAAAAACAUGAAAAUUCAAAGCUCAUUGUUCAGACUCUCCAAAAACGCUCUUUUACUCAUGUUACAUCCUUCAAAAAAUAACACUACUAUUUUGUGAGGAUCUAACACACACCAAUCGAUAUUUUUGAAAAGUCUGAGUAGAAAAAGAAAUCAAAAAGAGAAACUAACAUGAAUAAUAACUUAGAUUUGAAUUUCUUGGAAGUAUUACAAGAGGGGAAUUAGAACCAAUAGAAGCUCUUCUUUUGAGAUAAAACAAGUAAAACAAAAGAAACAAGAUUAUAGAGAAAAAAAAUGGAAUUGAAAAAAUGAAAGCUUGAUAAAGUUUAAGUUCAUGUGCUUGAGGAUACAAAUGAGGUGGACUAGGAGAUACAGGUACCCCAUUGAAAAAAAUAAUUAAAUUAGACACUUAAAACUAAGUUUAAUGAAACAAAAAAAAGAAGAAGAAAGAUUAUAAGUUAUAAGCUUAAUAUGUAUAUAGAAACCUUACCUUAUAGCUUUUAUAUACAAAUCAAGAACAAGAAAAUGAAAAAUAAAGUGAAAAAAGUACACGUAAUAAUAAAUAAAAGUUUAUAAUAUAAUGAACAUGUAAAAAUAAACAGAGAUAAUAUUUUGGAAUCCUUUCUAUAAAUAGCACUCCUCUCAUCACAAUAAUCUAUCACUCUAUCAUCUACUCUAAUAACACACUUCAAGCAAAAAUGGAAACCAUCACCACCUCCGCCGCCGUCACCACCACCGUUAACACCGGCGGUCUUCACUCCGUCGAGAUGAAUCCAUGACACCACAUCCUCAACCGCGCAUUUGCACUUAUUUACCUUUUUGCCAUCGUAGUUCUUUUCCAUAACCAUAUACUAAACCUCCUAAAUUCCACAAAUUCCUUUAUAACUUUCUCUAUAUCAUUUUCCAUUUUAAUUUCAGAUUUAAUCUUAGCCUUCAUGUGGACAACCAGUCAACCUUUUCGUAUGCGUCCACUAACACGUCAACAAUAUCCCGAAAAAAUAACAAAAAACUUUAGUAACGAAAUUAAUAAUUUUCCAGCACUCGAUAUAUUUAUUUGUACGGCAGAUCCUUAUAAGGAGCCACCGUUAGACGUCGUUAACACGGCGUUAUCAGUUAUGGCCUACGAUUAUAAUCCGAUCGAAAAAAUAUCGAUUUACGUAUCGGACGAUGGAGGAUCGGAGCUUACGUUAUUUGCUUUUAUGGAAGCUGCAAAAUUUGCUGCAUAUUGGUUGCCUUUUUGUAGGGAAAAUAAAAUAAUUCAAAGGUCUCCAGAUGCAUAUUUCAAUUCUAAUUACACAGAAAAUUCGGAGACAAAGAAAGUCAAGGUAUGUUUUUUUUCUCUCGAAUUUAUAUCACUAAACAAAACGUCUUUAACAUCUAGUGAUUUUUUUAAUUAAUAAUAGAAAAUUAGUUGAUUAUGAUGUUUGGAUUUUUCAAAAAUAUAUGUUGGAUAUUCCUUCAAAAAUAUAUUAUUACUACUUCAAUAUGAUAUUUUUAACAAUUCGAGCAACACUGUUGUGUUCGAAAGUGAUUAGGGCGUCAUGUGGAAGCUUACAAUUGCAAAUCAUAUGAUUGAUAAAUUAGACGACAAAUAAAAGUAUAUAUACUAAAAACAUAUUAUUAAUAUAGUUGGUCAACCAACCUACAUAUUAUAAAACUAAUAUUUCAAUUUAUAGAUCUCUAAACUUUCCUCUAAGGAAAAGAAUAAACCAAAUAUGAAGGAAAAUAUAAUUUUCUUUUCAAAAAAAGUUAAAGUAUUUAUGGUAAUAUUUUGAUUUUCCUUCAAGAAAAGAAAUAAAUUUCAAAUAAGGUAAGAAAAUCAGGACAAAACCCUAACACAUAGGAAACGAGGGCACUGUUAUUUCUGGCAUGUGCGAUAAAUUUGUUGUCUAUCGCAAUUAUUGAUAAAGGGACAUAUAGGUUUGGUACGAUCGAUUAUGGACCACUAUAAAUAUUAUUUUAGUUAUAUUAUAUGGUCUUUUCUAUAUGAUGUAGGGUCCCAAAUUAAUAUAUAGGCCUAAGUCAUCUGCGGCCCCUUAAAGUUGUCCGCAUAAUUCAUUUAGACACCUCAACUAGGGUGAGUACCUAUUGAACACUUUAACCUUAAGAAAUUUAUAUCUAUUAGACACAAAAUGAUAAUCAGUUGAAAAACAAAACUGCGUGUAACUCAAAUGCAAAUAUAUAAUAGGUGUACCAAUGAAACAAUGACACGUGGCGGUUGAAUUCAAUUAAAAAAAAUUCUAUUUAAAUAUUCCAAAAAGAAUUUAAGAAAAUAAAAAUUAACUCUUUUAAUUAACACCCCCACCAUCCAUACGUCUUCUUCUUCUUUUUCGUGUUUAGACCGUUUCCCCUUUCCGUCGGCGCCGACACACAAAUAAAUCAUCGCCCCACUCUUUCAUUCCCUUUCAUAGGCAGCACCUCCUACCAUUGCCAUCAUUUUCUUUCGAUUAAUAAAUAUUUAUCACAGUUACAAGAAUUAAUAACAAUUUUUUGCCUGAAAAUAAUUGAUUCAGUUUUCUUACAUCGAAAUAAAUGGAGUUUCGCCGGAAUAUUUGAAACCUGAAAAAAGAAGAAAAAAAUAGAAGAAUAAUUGGANNNNNNNNNNNNNNNNNNNNNNNNNNNNNNNNNNNNNNNNNNNNNNNNNNNNNNNNNNNNNNNNNNNNNNNNNNNNNNNNNNNNNNNNNNNNNNNNNNNNNNNNNNNNNNNNNNNNNNNNNNNNNNNNNNNNNNNNNNNNNNNNNNNNNNNNNNNNNNNNNNNNNNNNNNNNNNNNNNNNNNNNNNNNNNNNNNNNNNNNNNNNNNNNNNNNNNNNNNNNNNNNNNNNNNNNNNNNNNNNNNNNNNNNNNNNNNNNNNNNNNNNNNNNNNNNNNNNNNNNNNNNNNNNNNNNNNNNNNNNNNNNNNNNNNNNNNNNNNNNNNNNNNNNNNNNNNNNNNNNNNNNNNNNNNNNNNNNNNNNNNNNNNNNNNNNNNNNNNNNNNNNNNNNNNNNNNNNNNNNNNNNNNNNNNNNNNNNNNNNNNNNNNNNNNNNNNNNNNNNNNNNNNNNNNNNNNNNNNNNNNNNNNNNNNNNNNNNNNNNNNNNNNNNNNNNNNNNNNNNNNNNNNNNNNNNNNNNNNNNNNNNNNNNNNNNNNNNNNNNNNNNNNNNNNNNNNNNNNNNNNNNNNNNNNNNNNNNNNNNNNNNNNNNNNNNNNNNNNNNNNNNNNNNNNNNNNNNNNNNNNNNNNNNNNNNNNNNNNNNNNNNNNNNNNNNNNNNNNNNNNNNNNNNNNNNNNNNNNNNNNNNNNNNNNNNNNNNNNNNNNNNNNNNNNNNNNNNNNNNNNNNNNNNNNNNNNNNNNNNNNNNNNNNNNNNNNNNNNNNNNNNNNNNNNNNNNNNNNNNNNNNNNNNNNNNNNNNNNNNNNNNNNNNNNNNNNNNNNNNNNNNNNNNNNNNNNNNNNNNNNNNNNNNNNNNNNNNNNNNNNNNNNNNNNNNNNNNNNNNNNNNNNNNNNNNNNNNNNNNNNNNNNNNNNNNNNNNNNNNNNNNNNNNNNNNNNNNNNNNNNNNNNNNNNNNNNNNNNNNNNNNNNNNNNNNNNNNNNNNNNNNNNNNNNNNNNNNNNNNNNNNNNNNNNNNNNNNNNNNNNNNNNNNNNNNNNNNNNNNNNNNNNNNNNNNNNNNNNNNNNNNNNNNNNNNNNNNNNNNNNNNNNNNNNNNNNNNNNNNNNNNNNNNNNNNNNNNNNNNNNNNNNNNNNNNNNNNNNNNNNNNNNNNNNNNNNNNNNNNNNNNNNNNNNNNNNNNNNNNNNNNNNNNNNNNNNNNNNNNNNNNNNNNNNGAAGAAAAAAAUAGAAGAAUAAAUUGAAAGGGAGAGAGAGAAAGUUGGAGGGGUGGGGUGGCAUGAGAGGCAACUGGAAAGUACAGAGAUGGUGGAAUGAUGUUGGAUGAAAAUCGUUGAGGCAUCAUCCUGUGAAGAAGAAGACGCCUUGCUUUUUUUUAUAUUGUUAGUUAAUUUUUUUUUUUGGUUUCUUUAUUAAUUAAUGUCAAGGGUCAAUAAAGCAAAAAAAUGUAUUUUUUCAGGAAAAAGAAAAAGGAAAAUGUUAUUUGGGCAUCUUCACGCACCCAUGGAAAGUGAAGAACACUUUUUUUGCCACAUCAGUAUUUUGUGCUUAAUAGAUACACGUUUUGAAUAUUUUAGGUGUUCAAUAGGUACUAGCUUUAGUUAAGGUGUCUAAGUGAAUUAUGCGGACAACUUUAAUGGGCUGCAGAUGACUUAGGCCUAAUAUAUAUGUGGUAGGCUGGUAGCUUUCGCUUUCGGGAAGUUGAUUUGUCUAAUUUAUGAAGUAAAAUCGAGUUUGAUUAAAUUAAUAAUUAAAAUUUAUAAAAUAUUUAAAAUCUAUACGAAUAAUAUUGUAAGUUGUAAAUUUUUCUCAUGUCAGUAUGACGAGAAUAUAUUUUAUAAAAAUAUUUAUCAAAGUUCACAUAGUUUAAGUCUCGAAAAAAUAAAAGUGUUACAGAAAUUGAAACAUGAGGAUUAGUAACAUAUGAUAUAGUAAAAUGUACAUAAAAUCUUUAUAAAACCAUUUCCUUUUCUAUUUAAUUAGAUAUAAUUUGUGAUAGGAAAUCAUGAUUCUCGCUAAGGGAAAUCAUGAUUCACGAAUAAAAUAUUUUUCCUUUUAUCUUACAUCAUAUCUCGUAUUUCUAUAUAUUUUCAUUCGUUGAGAAUUGAAUUACAUCGUAUUUUAAUCAAUAUUUUAAAAUAUAGUUACACAAGAAGAUAAGCAACUUGCAAUUUAAUUGACUAGUAUCUGGCCUGAGUUGAUUCAUCAAUUAUCUGAAUAUAUUUCAGGUAUAUAUUGAUUUGUGAUUUUGGUUUUGUAUUCAAUCCUUCUGACGUUAUAGCUAAGACAAAAAAAAAAUAGAUAUUUUCUUUAAUUUGUCAUUAUUCAUUUAAAAAUCUCAAAAUAACUAAACUAGUAUAUAUUAUAUGCUCAUAUGUCAUGUUUCAUUUUUUGUUAUAAUGUAUUUGACUGAUAAAUUUUGCCAAUAAUAUUGGAGCAGCUCUUAUAAGGACACCUUAUAUUAUUUUAAGAAGUCAUAAAACCCUUUUAUAACUAUACUAGAAUCUUAUCUCGUGUUAUAUAAGAAAAAUAAAAUUAUUUUUUUCUUAUGUAAGUACAUUAUAGAACUAUGACAUUAGAAAAUAGUAAUAUUUUUACUUAUCUUUUAGCGUGACUCAAGAUAUUAUCAAGAAAGAAUUUUUUCUAUUAUUUAUCUUAUUUCCGAAACGAAAUCAAACUAUAUGUAAUUUUUAUUAUAUGUGUAGUUGAUGUACGAAAACAUGAAGAAAAGGAUAGAAGAAGUGAUUGAGAGGGGAAAAGUGGGUGAAGAUUUUAUUGACAAUGAGGAAGAGCUUCAAGCUUUUACCAAAUAUUGGACGCUUGGAUUUACUCGUGAUAAUCAUCCUUCUAUUAUUCAGGUAAAUAUAUAUAUAUAUAUAUAUAUAUAUAUUGUAGUUGUUCAAUUGACUCGUAAUAUUAUCAUAUUGAACUUAAUUCUAUAUGAUUUUAAAAUCUGUCAAUAUAAGACUUGUCUAGGAUAUCACAUAUAUUUCCCUUAGAGACUCGGUAAGAUUUACCCCAUGCACCAUCAUCGCAAAAAUGUAGGAUUCAUCUAAAAGAGUAUUGGUUUAAAUAUCAUCUAUAACAGUUCAAUCCACUAGUGAUAUUGUCGAUUUGAAUUCUACACUUGUACAAUUUUAAAAUGUGUCACAAUAAAAAGUACAACAAAAAAAAAACUAAUUAUCUAUUAAUUAAAAAUGCUUAACACGUGUUGCCAAAUAGUCUAAUUUGCCUUUAAUUGUAAACAUGUUAUUUAACAUCAUAUGUGUGGUUAUUGAUUUGGUAAUAUCAUCUAUUUAACUUAUCCUUUUAUCAAAUUGGUUGGUGUAGGUUUUGUUAGAAAGUGGCAAAGAUAAAGACAUGACAAGUCACGGGAUGCCAAAUCUUAUUUAUUUUUCAAGGGAAAAAAACACAAGUUCCCCUCAUCAUUUUAAAGCAGGUGCCCUCAAUGCAUUGGUAAGUAAAAAAUCUCAUCAAUUUUACUUUACACAACAAUUUUUAUUCAUAAAAUUAAGGGAAAAGGAUAAAUAUAUCCCUCAACUUUGAGAUACGUCAUCGUUUAACAAAUGAUGCAUAUUUACCUUUUUAUUAACAAAUAUAUAUUUACUAAAUUAAAAAUAAUAAUAAUCAUAAAAUAAAUUGUUAAAUCUAAAAACAUCAUGUUAGCAGUGAGGGUAUAUAUAUACCAUUUGUUUCGACGAACGAUAUAUAUACAUUCUAAAUAGCAAAAUCGAGGAAUAUAUUUGCUUCUUUUUCCCUAAAAUAUUAUCGAAUUGAUUAUUAAUUUCUUCUUGUGUUAGCUUCGAGUAUCGGGAAUUAUGACAAAUGCACCAAUAAUAUUGACACUUGAUUGUGAUAUGUACUCUAAUGAUCCAUCAACGCCACAACGGGCUUUAUGUUACUUCUUGGACCAAACAUUACGGCCCAAUUUAGCUUACGUUCAGUUUCCUCAAACUUUUCAUGGGCUUAACGAAGCAGAUAUUUAUGCAAAUGAGAUAAAAGCCCUAUUUUUUACUAAUCCAAUGGGCAUGGAUGGGCUUAAUGGGCCUAAUUAUGUUGGAACUGGAUGUUUUUUUCGUCGUCGGGCUUUUUAUGGAACUCCAUCUUCGUUCAAGCAGCCCGAAAUUCCAGAACUUUUUCCAGAUCAUAUUGUGAAUAAGCCCAUUAAGGCCCAAGAAAUUUUGCGGCGAGUCCAUUAUGUAGCAAGUUGCAACUAUGAGAGUGAAAGUAUUUGGGGUUCCAAGGUGAGCUUUAGUUCACAUUUUAAGUUGGUAAAUGUAGAGUAUAAUUGCACUAGCAACUUGUUUUUCGUGGCAAUUGGUUCGAAUUUUCCACGUGAUAUAUCUAGUAUACAUGGUAUAUUCGAACUCAUUCCCAUGAAAAAAUUGUUGGUACUUGAGGAAAUAUGAGUAUAAUUGCACUAGCAACUUCUUCGUGGCAAUCAGAUCGUACUUGCCACAUAUGUUAGAUCUUGUUGCCACGAAAAAGUUGCUAUAUUAAAUCUCCUUUGCUAUAAACUAACAAUUUCAAAAUUAUGCAGAUGGGGUUUAGGUAUGGAUCACUUGUUGAGGAUUACUACACAGGUUAUAGACUUCAAUGUGAAGGUUGGAAAUCAGUAUUUUGCAAUCCUAAAAGGCCUGCAUUUUUAGGAGAUAUACCAAUUUCUCUGUAUGAGGUGGUCAGUCAAAACAAGAGAUGGAAUGUGGGCCUUCUUGAAGUUGCUCUCUCAAAAUAUAGCCCAUUAACUUUUGGGGUUCAGUCCAUGGGCCUUGUUAUGGCCCAUUGUUAUUCUCACUAUGCAUUCUCUCCCAUUUGGUCAAUACCACUUACUCUAUAUGCCUUCAUCCCUCAACUUACUCUUCUCAAUGGGGUUACCAUCUUUCCAAAGGUAUGCAUGCCCUUUUGAUAUAUGACUCAGCAUAUUUAACGUUCAAUUAAUUAAGUUAUGUGUUUCGGUUCCCUUUCAUGUAGAAAAUAUAUUAUAUUAUCGUCAUUUACAAAGUAACACUACAUAUAUAUAUAGAGAGAGCAUAGCACAUGACUUAAGUGGUGGAACGACUAAUCUUAUGGUAAAUUUGUGGAUAUUGACAAGCAGAUGAAUAAGAAGUCUAAUUUAUUUAUUUUGAAGGUUUAAUGUUCUUUUUAUAUCGAUUUCAGGUUUCAGAUCCUUGGUUUUUCUUGUAUGUUUUUAUGUUCCUCGGAGCGUAUGGACAAGAUUGCUUGGUUUUUAUGUCUAAUGAAGGGACAUUUAAAAGGUGGUGGAGUGACCAAAGAAUGUGGAUGAUAAGGGGAUUAACAUCUCACUUAUUUGGAACAAUUGAGUACUUAACUAAACACUUAGGCAUAUCGACACAAGGGUUCAACGUAACAAGCAAAGUAGUCGAUAAUGACCAAGGUAAAAGGUAUCAUCAAGGAAUUUUCGAGUUUGGGGUUGUUUCGCCUAUGUUUGUGAUACUAGCAACUACAUCAAUCAUCAAUUUAGUAGCAUUUCUCAAAUCAUUAGCACAAAUUAUCAACGGUGAUCACAAUUUGGAUGGAAUAUUUAUCCAAAUGUUUAUUGCUGGUUUUGUUGUUAUAAAUUGUUUGCCAAUUUAUGAAGCUAUGGUUUUGAGAAAUGAUAAAGGAAGAAUGCCUACAAGGGUCACUAUUUUCUCAACAUUUCUUGCUUGUACUCUCUAUAUGGCAUUUGCUUUUCUUCUAGGAAAUAUUUAGCAAAACUUUGGGACUUUCUGGUAUUGAUCUUGUAGUCUUAUUUCUUAGUUUAGUUAAGAGGCAAUAUUACAUUUAGUUGAAAUAUUCAAGAAUAAAAGGAUUAUAGAAAUCUUAUAGAAUGUUGUAACUCUUUAUAUUUGGUGUAUGUGAAUCAAGUCUUGUUUUUUGGAGAUUAAUAAGUGAUUUUUUUUCAAAUUUUGAUUUUCUAUAUCUACAAAAAGAAAUUCCGUCCAUGUUCUAACAAAAUUUCAAUUUCAUUCUUUCGGUCAUAUGUCUUAUCAAAACUAAAAAAAGAUUGUCAUAUUUAAUGUCAUUCUAAAGUUGUAUCUAUAAACUAUAUACUCUAAUAUGCAACACUUUUGUGUGCCUUACAAAUUCCAAGAAAUGCAACAAAACUAGGCAGUCCUUCAAAUUCUCCUUUUCUUUAAAAGGAAAACUUGGAUCAUUUCUCGAUUUGUGUGAGUCAUCUUUGUGCAGGGACCACACAGAUCUUCUCUGUAUCAUUUCAAUUUUAUCUGCGAUUGACAUUCAUGUGUCAGGAGCCUUAUCAAUGUUGAUAACAUGAGUUUCUACAUUUGAAAAAUCUCUCUCAAUAUUGUCAACAAUGCUAGAUGAUGAGCUACUAGCACUAGACAAUUCUUCAACUAUCACCACCACAUGUUGCUCAUGCUCCUCUCUACUAACCGUUAUAUCGUGGUGUUCCCUCUCCUCCUCGAUGACACUCGAAGGGUUGUUAUUAGAAGGUGGUUGUUGUGGAGGUUGCGGUUUUUUGUUGGUAACAAGGACAUGGCAUCGACAGAGUGGACAAGAGAAAUUUGAACGAAGCCAAUGGCGUAUGCAUUCAACAUGAAAAAUGUGCUUACAAGAAGGUAGUUGGUGUAACUCCUCUUUGAUCUCAAAUUCUCCCAAACAAACACAACACCUGUGAAAUUUUUCGUCGUAAUGUUAGUAAAUAACAAUACAACAACAACGUCUCAGUCCCAAACUAGUUGGGGUCGACUAUAUAUAUGAAUCCUCUCUGUUUCAUUUUAGUAUAGAAUGACAAGUAAAACAGAUUUCUUGAAGUAGACUUUUUUACCAUAACUAGUUUUACUUCUUUUUAUUUCACAUAGAUUUCAGGGGCAAAAGCUUUUUCGAGACCAACCCUAACAAUAUCUAGAUUGAAAUGAAGUUAUAGUUAGACCCCACAUCCGCUUUCUUGGAACUAACUGAUAGGCAUUUAGUUUUUUGUAGAACAAGUGGAAAAUGAUGUGCAACUUUAAUCGAGGUUAAAAGGUAGAGCACAAAAGCCCUCCACCCCACCAAAAAGUAAAAUACUUGGUGCUUGCCCGUGACAUAUAUGGCAUGCUUUUCGUGGUAACUAUGAAAUAGAUGUCAGACUCAAUUCAUCAGGAACCGGAAGGAUACAACAUCACUCUCGGAAAAAAAGACGAGAGAAUCCUCCCUUUAAUUUUGACUAUCAGGACUUGACGGGCCACUUCAUAGGACGGGCGGAAAAAACAUGAAUUUGACAAGUAACACAAACAAAAAUUUUAAAGUUAUAACUUACUGAGAAUCCUUCAUCAUUGAAUCUUCAUCAAAUAGUAUAACAGGAAGCUUAUAAGUCUUGAGCAUCCCCUUUACAUCUACGUUACCCUACAAAACAAGAAAACUUUUCAUGGUUUCUUGAAAAAACAUGAAAAAUUCAAAGCUACGUUGUUUAGACUCUCCAAAAACGCUCUUUUACUCAUGUUACAUCCUUCAAAAAAUAACACUACUAUUUUAAGAGGAUCUAACAUAUCAGUCAAUAUUUUUGAAGAGUCUGAACAGAAAAAGAAAUCAAGAAGAGAAACUAACAUGAAUAAUAACUUGAUUUGAACUUCUUGGAAGUAUAACAAGAGGGGAAUUAGAACCAAUAGAAGCUCUUCUUUUGAGAUAAAACAAGUAAAACAAAAGAAACAAGAUUAUAGAAAAAAGUAUUGGAAUUGAAAAAAUGAAAGCUUGAUAAAGUUUAAGUUGAAGUGCUUGAGGAUACAAAUGAGGUGGACUAGGAGAUUCAGGUACCCCCAUUGAAUUAUUUUUUUAAGUAGACACUUAAAACUAAGUUUAAUGAAACAAAAAAAAAGAAGAAAGAUUAUAAGUUAUAAGCUUAAUAUGUAUACAUAAACCUUAGCUUAUAUAGCUUUUAUAUGCAUAUCAAGAUCAAGAAAAUGAUAACAAAGGGUGAAAAAAGGAUGUUUUUAAUUGAGAUUUGAAAAAUGUGAAGUGCUUUUUUGGAAUCAAAUUAAGUGAUGAAAAUUGUAUGAUUACUUUAUUUACACUUUUUAAUUGAUGUGACUUGUUCAUAACUUCCCACUAAGAUUUUUUUAAAUAUAUAAAAACGAAAAGGUCCCUCAUUCCACUCUCUCAUGUUUUCUAAAUUUUUUUAGCACAAGGUUCAAUCAUAGUUCUCCCACUGGGAACAGAUAAAUAAUAUGAUAAUUAUAAACUUUGUCACUUACCUUAUCGAUAUAUCAUUUGAAAAUCAUAGGAUUGCAUAGUGUUCCAAAUAUCUUAAUUUUACCUAAUGUUACAUUAGGGACCAUUCAUUCUCUUGUUGCUAGUCCGUCCUCUCGUAAUUUCUGAUUUUAAUUUUAAUAACAUUUAAAAUAAAGUAAAUUUCAUGAUGUCAAAAUAUUUUGAUUAAAAAAUUAAGACUUACCCACUACUUCAUCGAUCCGUUAUACUUCAAAGAACAACUUUCACAUAUAGCAAACAUAAAAAUCAUAUUUGUAUGUUAUAGCUAUAGUUUGCAUAAUUGCGCUCCAUAACAAAUUUUAUGUUUGCUAUGGAGCUUUUGAUUUGUAUAAUUCGCUAGAUACAUCCAAUUUUAUACAAAUUGUUCAGUUUUGUAUAAAUUAAUUUAUACAUUGUAAUUUGUAUAAUAAGAUUUGUAUUUGUAUAAUUAUAAGUGUAUAGGACGCAAAUAUAUGAAUUUAUAUUUGUAUAUACACUUUUCUCUCGCUUUAUACAAACACAAACGUAUUUUGUACAUUUUAUACAUGUGUAUACCGAAUAGGUAAUUGUAUACCGAAAAUGGCUAAUUGUAUACCGAACCAGAUGACAAAAAGGGAUAUUUGCUGCGAAUUACAAAUAAGAUAAACUAUGACUAUAACAUUUAAUUUGAAUUAAUAAUUUGCUAUUUCAUACAAUUUUCCCUAUUUGAAAUUAGAACUUUGUUAGGAUCAAAAAACAAAUACGAUAGUAACUAAUUAUCGAUAAAAGUAUAAAUAGUUCUUAAGUAUAAAAGAGGGUGAAAUUAAGAUAUAGAUGUAAUUCAAUUAUUAUCUUUACACUUUUCACUAAAGUAAAAACAAAUAUCUGUCUUUCUUACAAGUCAUUUCACUUUUGACAAGACUCCCACACAAAACAAGUUUUUUUUAUUUAUGAUUUGUUUAGAAAGUUUGAUAAUCAAUCAACUUCAUUAGAUAGUCAUUAAGAUGGUGAGCACUAAUCAGAUAAGCUUGACAACUUUCAAAAUCUCAUUGGAAAUGGAAGAUAAAAAAGUCUUUUUUAUAUAAAGUUAAGCUCGUUUAAUUUGGUCAAGCUUUUCAGAAAUCUAAAAUAUUUUUUUAUUUAUUUAAAAAUAUUUAAUUUAAAAAAAUCGAGAUAAUUAGUUUUAGUUUUGGUGAAAACAAGAAUUUUUGUUGAUUAUAGAGAGCCUGAGCAAGUACCUUAUUGAAAAGCGUAUAUAACUUACACUCAAUAAUUUUCUUUUGAAGAAAUUAUCUUUAAUUGAGUACUUCCUAAUAACUUAUGUUUAGCCAAGCUUACAGAAUAUUGAAAAUAUACUUUUGAACAGUAGUGAUUUAUAUUUAACUAAUUAAUUAGAAUAACAUUUUGUGCUUGAUUAAAUCCCUUUAAAAAAGCUACUUGCUUCUCAAAAAUACUUGUUUGUUUUCUCUAAAAGUGUCACAUGAAAAUAAAUUAUUUAUUUUUAUCUAAAUUCUAAUCUAGGGUGGGCGUUCGAUUUUUCGGUUCGGUUUAAUCAAAUUUCAGUUCGGUUUUAGAAAAGUGUGCACCAUAUUUCAUACCAAACUAGAUCCGUUCGGCUCGAUAUUUUCUACUUCGGAUCGGUUUAGUUCGGUGUUUUUAAAUCGGUUUUUCGAUGUGAAUAAAAAUAAAGAGGGAAUAUGAUAAAGUGUUAAGAGUUUCAUGUGUUUAAUUUAUAAUUAAGAAGACGUUGCAUAGAUGAUUCUUUAACUAGAAGAAUUCAAAUUUUAUUUCUGUUUCUAGCAAAGAUGCCAAAGAAUUUGUUAAUUAGAUGGAUUAUUCACCCUCCUAUGUUGCUACAGAGAUGACCAACUAAAUAUACAACGACAGAAUCAACAAACAUAUGCAGAUAAAUGGUAAAGAGCACACAACAAUUAUCUUUACUCACAAAACAAGGUCUACAAAGACUUGUCCGCACAUUUUUUUUUUAAAAAGCACACAACACCAUCAAACGGCACUAUCUCUUUGGAUACACGAUUCAACACAUUCAAAACAUAGACUUUAGGUCUUUAGGGUUUACACUUUACUGAUUUGUCAUUUAAAAAUUGAAAUGGGCUAGGUAAAUAUUUUGAGUCAAAAUAUAUAAGUAUUAUUAAGUAAUAUAAUUUAAAUAUUUUUAAAUUUAUUUAAUAAAACUUCGAUCCUUCGGUGCACCGUAGUUUUGGGACCCUUACACCGAACUCCGAACCAAAGUUCCGAAAAUAAAGAGCUGACACCGAACCGAAACACCAAAGAACCAAAAUAGUUCGAUUCGAUUUUAUUUUUUGAUUUUUCGAUAUUUAUGCCCACCCCUAAUCUAAACAUUUGGAAUUUAUUCCGUUUGGCAUCAACAAAAUGAGUGGUUCUUCCACAAACUACACUCAAAAGUGUUUUUUUUUUCUUCACAUAAAUGAACUUUUUCUUAUCUAGAAAAUACCUAGCAAUAUAUUUUUAGUACUACUAUACUAUAGUGGCCCCUACAACAUGCAUAGAUUCAUAUGCUCCUAUCACUUGUUGUUGAUUACCAUAAAAAGGGGUCCAUCCAUAACUCUUGAAAUGUCAUAUCAUAUUUGCACUCUCCAUCCACCAAAGCAAGGGAUAUCCUCAAAUAAUAAUAAUAAUAAUAAAACUAAUAACUACGUUUUAAUUCCAAAUUAAAUAGAAUUUUAUAACCAUUUUUACUAUAUUCAUGUCGACUUUAGAAUAUUUAUCAUAGUUACACUACCUUUAUGUUGAUGGAUAGAUAACUUGAUAUAACUACUGAUGAAAGAUAACAUAUAUUCGAUAAAAUAGUUGAAAUGUGUGUAAAUUGACGUGAAUAUUACCGUAUUCCAAAAAGGAAAAAGAACACUAGUAGUGUAUAGGAGAUUGACCUUUAAGUCAAGCCAAAGGAUUAAAACAAAAGGAUUCAAUUUAAUCAUGUGAUCAUAAAGUAAUUCAACUUUACAGAUAUGAAGACAAGUUUAACAAUUGUUAAGAGACUUAUAUGCAUUAGUGGAAGAUCUUGUUUCCUGGUAAUGAGCAUUAGCCGUUGAUGACGGGUUGAUCACUUACAUUAAUUAACUAAUUUAAAUUAGCAAAUUAUUGUUAAGAAAUAUCUUCUCUAUACCCUAAUGUAAAUUUGACUCUACUAGUGAGAACGCAGUGUCUGAAUCAACUUGUGUAAAUUUCAAUUUUUUGUUGCAUACUUACUAUCUUUAUACAAGUUUCAUUGAGUAACUGCUCUACUUACAUUUAGUGGUGAAUGCAGAAUUUCCAUGAAGAGGAUUUAUUAUAUAUCUCUUUCUGAAUAGCGUAGGAUUUCUAAAUCUUAAGAACCGGAAAUCGUUGCCAUGAGCCUUGUAGAUGGGCCAGGUUAGCCGGCUCAAUUAUCUAGACAAGUGGGAGGCUAGCUCCAGCCUCCAUGUAUGCUCCAAAUAAUUUUACUUAUCAAAGACUUAAGGAUACGAGAAUUGAUACUCCAUUCACUAUGAUUUAGAUAAUCUAGGAAAAGUCAUUGAAUAUCUAAUUUUUUUAUUAUUUUCAUCCCACUUUAUUAAUAGUUAAACUUAAGACCUUUGGAUAUAAUUAACCAACUUGCUCUUUUUUUUACGUCUCCAUUUACUAGUAUAUGCUCUUUAUGUCUCCAUUUACUAGUUUUAAAUUUAUAACUAAUCCUUUUCCAACAACUUUACAAAGAUACAAUCUCACUUAAUGUGGGCAUUUUCUUGGAAUAAAUUCAUGUUUAUUGUUUGUGGGGUGGAAAAAGAUCCUCAUAAUUUCCCUAAUCUUUCUAUCAAAGUGGGAAUUGAGGUCAUCCUCAAACUACACCAUUAAAUCAGAUUCUCAAGAUUUUCCAUAAAGCAAAAAAAAAAUAUUAAACUUAUCUAGCAUAUAAAGUAAUCUGACUUUGGAAAAAUUCUUAGCAAUCAACAUAAAAUGACUAUUUUAUGACAUAUAUGUUAAGGUGGAAGCCAACAGUGUUGUCUUAACGCAAUCAAUACAAAAUUUUGAACCAAAUGUCUACAUCAUAACCCACAAAAAUGGUCAGCCUUGCUUUUGGAAGCAACAAAAAGCAAGAAAAUGUUGACCAAUAGUUGGUCCUAAUACUGUCCAAUAUACAAACCAACCACCAAACUUAAAAAGGACAUUGGUGAAGUAUAAGCCCCGGUGAAAGACAAAGGUGGAAAGUGAAGCGAGCUAGUAGCUACAACGAUUCCCCGGAGGGGAAGUCAAAACUAAUGUUCAGGCAAAAAUAUCGGCAACAAUAUGUUGAAUUGGCAGGUUAGUUGAUGAAGAAGUUGGGAAGGUACCAGCUGCCUGUGUGGUGUUAAACCAAGAUGUUAAAGAGAGGGAAGGGGAAAUCGUGAACUAUGAGAUCAAUCCAACUUUCACACAUCUCAACUAAUUCCACGUGGUACCAUCUACCUCCCAUAAGCAACAAUAACAUAUCCAAUGAAAUUCCACUAAUUGAGGUUUAGGCAGGGUAGAGUGUACAUAGACCUUAUCACUACCUCGUGGAGAUAGAGAGGUUGUUUCCAAAAGACUCUCGCCUCAAGCACAAGUACUAAAUAACUCUCCAAAUGGGAAGAAACGACCUGGUGUUUCUCAACCCAUUUCAUUGUCCAUUAGGUCACACUGUUGGGUUACAUUAGUCCACCUUCUCAUGUUAAAAAUUCUCUAUAAUAAUUCAGAGAAAUGGUAAUCUGACUUGACAACCAAAGAUAUCAGAAAAGUAAAAAUGAAGGUAAUCAAGUGCUCAAUAAUGCUACUAUUGUUAUAUUUUAAGAGCCAAAUUGGAGGAUACUUAAGCAGAAUGUAAUGGCAACUUUCAGUAAUAUAAAAGAAUAUUACAAAUUGAUACUGUUUUACUUUGAAAAAGGGUGUAAUUACUUAAACAUCUGAAAGGCGCGAUGAGUAAAACUUGCCUCCUCUCUGUUAUCGUCUUUUACAGCUGAACAGAUGCACAAAUUUAACUAACUAAGCAAACUAGUAUUUUCUUUUCCUAAUCUUGAAAGUGGACGAUCGGAUAACAUCAUCAUCAGUUACCAAUGUUGCCUCAAGGGGUACAAUGGAUUCAGGUUUAGUAAAAUAAGUGAACAGGAGGUAGAUACCGUCCAAGUACGUAUUUGUCUCUCCAGCUUUGUUUUUCCUCCUAAUGCUGUAUGCAAGUGGAAUAACCCCUCGGUUGAAGACCUCCACAUACAUACCACCACCAGCAACCAGCAACUGCCCAAGAGAAAGAAAAACAAAAGAUUAAAACUUGCAUCAUCAAUAGCCAGUACCAUGUGCAACUGAAAUUGAUGGGGGACAAUAUUAGAACUGUUAAAUCCAUAAAACAGUUACGAUAAGUCUAUCAUGUAAGAUUUUAGAUGAGAUGGUCAAAUACUUAAUAUUGCCCCUAACGUGUGGGGUUAUGCCAUUUUUAUGAGUCAAGCAUGUGAAAAUCUGUUUUUGAUAAUGGGUGGCAAUGAGAGCUUGCUCUGAUACCAUGCUAUAGUGAGUUUCUUAUUUUAUUAGACGGAGCAGCUGAUGAAGAACAAAACACAAAACAUGGGAAACAUUGGCUCUUACCAGUGUGUCUAUUUGAUUGACCUGUUAGGCAAAAGCUGAAAUGCAGUAAGUGUUGGAACAAACAUAGAACAAAGACGCAUGUGCCGAUGCUUAACUUCUUUCUCUCUUCUGGUUUAUUGGGGAUUUAACUAAAUGAAAGUUUCGCCAAUCAUUUGUAGGUGAAAGAUGACACAUAGUUUCAUCAACUUUAAGUCGAUUCAUAGAGUGGCGGGUACACAGCCUUACCCCUACCUAGUAAAGGUUGAGAGUUGUUUCCAAUAGACCCUCGGCUUAAAUAAAACAAAACAACAAUCAGUAAGAAAAGGAAAUACAGUAGUGAACGGGUCAUGUAGAAAAUAGAGUUUCAUCAACUUUAAGUACUUUUAUCAUUGUUCCAUGCAGUUUUGCACACGCCUAUUUUUCUGAUAGACGUCGACUAUAACAUCAAAACUGAGAUGGGCAAACCAAAAGACAAUUAUCAUCCAUGUUCACAAGGAAGAAUGAUAAGGUGAUAAUAGUCAUCAGAUCAAGCCUUUUGGACUCGAAAAGCAGUUGGAGAAAAAGAACAAGAUUAAAAUGAAAGUUCUUACAUGGGAACAAGAAGAAUGAAAAUUGUAGCAGAAGCUGAGAGUAACUUUCUUCUUACUUAGACCAUGUCCAUGUCGGCUUAAAUUAUAACAAAUGUUGAAUUAUGCACCGAAACUCUGUUGAGUGUUGUUAGGUCCAAAUAUCAGAUUUUUUCAAAGAAUGGCAUUCUAGUGAGAAGACAAAAAAAAGGAAGUAUAUUCUUGGACAAUCUUGUGCUUAAAUCAAUUGCAAGCUCGAAACUGCUUUUGCUUUCAGGCUUCCACCUCUUAACAGAAAAAGAAAAAAAAACAGUUUUUUUAGCCAAGAGAGGGGAAUGGAAGAAAUUUUCAUCAUGUCAAACCGAAUAUCAAUUACUUGUUCUGUUUCCCUAAUGAUCUCCCUGUUUCAAAUGAGCAUAAUUAUCUCAGUUCACAUUGAAAUCAGCUGAAGAGUAUGUAAAUGAUAUUAUAUGCAGCUCAACUUCUGAUAAAAAUACUUACUCCCUCAGUCCUAAUGUGUGGCACCUUUCACUUCUCAUUCAUGAACUACGACAAACAUAUUAAAAUGUAUUCUUUGCCUUCAGCAUAUGGAUACAAAGAGAAUUACAACAACAACAUAUUCCAGUGAAAUCUCACAAGCGGGGUCUUGAGGCUAGAGUAUACGCAGACCAUACACCUAUAUCUUGGAGGUAAAGAGGCUGUUUCAGGAGCACCCUCGGGAUACUCAGAGAAUUAUAGUACUUUCUCGUACAAAAUGAAUUAGUCUAGUUCAAUUUAUCUCCAAAAGUCAAUCAAAUUGACUCUAAAUAAGCAAGAAGCGCCAAACAAAUUGUGAACAAACAGUAUAUUAGUUUCAAAAAUUCAAUCUUUAGAACUCUCAACUUCAACUCUAAUGCUCAAACAGUCAAAUCAGCAAUUGAAAACUUAAAAUCCACCCAAAUUGAGCAUAGCGCCUUGCAAGUUAUAUCAAUUUCCAAAUACAUAAACAAGCAUUGUUACCUCUUCGUAUUUCUGGGUAAGAGCAAGUCUUUCAUCUUCAGACAUAUCGGGUCUCAAAACCACCAUUGUUUCAUAAGGGCGUAACCCAGGUGGACACUGCGGUUCCUCUUUAUCUUCAACUGCAGAAAUCCCCGACCAUGGUGUCGUCGGUGGCUCAUCAGCAUUUCCUCCCCCGAAUCCACCCUCGAAAAACGAGCCCGAAAAUUCUAGAGUUUGGGCUUUCAAGAUUUGCCCAGAAUUGUUGACCCUUUUGGUGAAACCCUUGAAGUUGAAGGGUAUUGAAGGUUUAGAAGAAGAGAGUGUGGAGGUAAGAGAUGGAAGUACUGAUGGAGAAGAAGAAGAAGACGCCAUUGUUGAGAGAUAAAGUGGAUAAGAAAGAGGAAAUUCACAAUUUUCAGUUCAAAGUUUAGACAUUGGUAAAAUUGUACAAGUGAAAUUUAUUGGUUUUUUUGUUUAGAUACCCUCAAGACUUGUAAAUGCUACUUUACUCCUUUCUUCUUAUUUUUUUGCAAAAUUUCAAGUCAUGGAUAAAAUUUUAUUUUAUUUUCAAUUAAUUGAAAUGGACAGUUUUGAUCGCAAUUUUAUCAUAAAUGUUAAUUGUUCUAUCACUUAAUUAUUCAUAAAAUGUUAAGUUUAUAUUGUUAUUCCAUGUUUGACGAUAGUAUAAGUCUAAAAAUACUUUCAAUUCAAGAUUAAAUGUGUUUAGUUCGAUAUCAUAAGGAUCAAAAUUAAAAUUUACCCCAUUAAGUAGCUAUACAAGGCCAUAUUUAUUUAUUUAUUGGCGGUUUGUUUUUCCUCUUAACUAUGAUAAGGAGGUUGAAGUAAGCAAAGUUUGAAUAAAGAAUUUAGUGAAGAUCUCCUAAUGAACAAGGAAUCGAUUAUACUGUAUUUAGCAUAACAAAAAAAAUAGCACUUUAUGUAUGUUAAAUCAAAUUGCAUUGUUCAUAAAUUCGAGUUAUGUUUGUUGAAUCGAGAAUUGUCAUCUUGUACAUAAUUAUGUUGUUGGCAAAUGGACUUGAUGAACGACUUAUCGCACUUCUACGCAUGAUUCUUGUAGGUUGUAUUUUUAGUCGUAUUCAUUUUUUUGUAAAUGAAUAGACAAUCCAAGAGAGUGACCAAGAAACAACAUACACUUACUAGUUUUUGAGGUUUGGAACCCUCCUCGAUUCAUUUGACUCGAGGAGAGACUUCAAGGGACAAGCAUCGCAUCUAGGUAAGCAAUGUCUAAUUGAAUAGAUCAAUUGGAUCUUCCAUUUAUGAAAAUGGAAGAUAAAAAGAAUAAUUGGAAGUUUGCAAUAGAAGUGGAAGCAUGUGCAAUAUUAAGUAUAUCCACAAAACAAAGAAACUCUAUACAAUAUUGGCUUAUGAGUUAUGACAUACCCCAAGUAGUGUACCUCCAUAGGCCCCAGCAAGUGUACCCCCACCUUAGUGAAGGAGCACCCAAAACAGGGUCUUAGCAAAAGUUACUGGGUUCGUCAGAACCCACACUUAGCACACUAGCUCCGCUCCUGAUCAGGACUGUAGUUAAAAGGGUAAGUUACAAAUGAAUGACGAACCCCCAAAAUCAAGUGCUUAGAAUGCAAGCAAAUACAAGAUAAAGUGCAGUAAAUUCUGAUGAUGCUCUCAAGUAGCUCUAUGUCGAAAAUUCCAGGUAAGGUAACUCUCAAGGCUAGAAGAAUUUUCAUGAGCAGCAAGGUAUAUUCUAUUUCUACCCAUGAAAUUACAACUAUGCUAGAAAGAUCAAAAUUCCUUCACAAGGCAUGCAUACACAUCACCCUCCCCAAACCUGACGGGAUUACACUAGGUAUGUUGUUUUUUGUUGCUAGAAAGAUCAAAAUCAAUAGUCAAGAUAAAGUUUAAUUCCAGUCUCUUUUGACCCCUCAUCACUCUCCUAGAAGCAUUCAGUAUUCAGAACUACUAUCUACAUCUACACUAGUAAUAGGUCUUACAUCAGUAUCUACAAAAAACGAGUUCUUUCUCCUACACAUGGUUAAUAGGGAGAAGUAAAAGAACGAGUAACUGAGCAAGAGUAGCCAAGAGGCCAUUAUAAUUCGAACUUGUCACACUGAAGAUCAAAUAUUUAGCAUUUCUGUCCCCUUAGCUAUUCUGUGAAGGGGGUACACAAGUUCUACACUGGCACAUCUUUAACAAGCUUAGAAGCUGGCAGUCGACAUAUGAAACUACAUAACAAGGUUCAGGUUUUUCUAACAAUGAAAGGUUAAAGUCAAAGACAGGGGCUUUACUCAUCAUCAUUAGAAUCCUAACUACAAGACUCCCUUUCAUCACAAGAAUUGGUUUCACAUUAAAACAACAUCCUGAUAAGCAAAUGCUAAGAAGAGAUGGACAGUAUUCCACAUGUAUUCAAAAAACUGCAGAAACUACUAUGCAUAGGUAGUUGAACUGAUGACCUAUUUUACAACAGUUGUUCACGAAGACUGAAAAACAAUUCUUAAUCUAGAACUAAUAGAAGAAGAUCAGUUUGUAUCAGGGUUUCGAACAAAAUGUGACUAGACUUGCGGCUUUUCCUCAAGGAAGCUUCUUCAUCCAUCCAUCUAUGAACUUUCGU